AGCUGUUGGUGUAGAUGAAGAGACAAGCUGCAUCAUCCGUGCAUAGGAGGAUGGAGGAGGAACAAAGAAUAAGGAAGGCUUUACAAGAUUAGGGGUAGGUGCUGAUAGAGGUGGAGAUGGUAUUUGCAAAGUUGGCACGAUAGGAGAAGCAACACUGGCGGGAUGAGAAGGUAAAGAAAUAGUUGUAUUGGACUGGUAAGGUUGUGCAGAGAUUGCUGCAUUAGAAGUAUUCCCCACAGUCAAAGCUGUCUGCAAUGAUAAGGACAGAUGUCAUAUAAAAGGACAUCAUAGAAGUUGAACCUCACACAAAAAUGAAGUGAUAACAUAUGAAAAUAGUAUAUGACUUGCUGCAUUUUUGUGGUAAUGUUGCAUACUUAUGUAGAAACAUAUUAUUUCAAAGAAAACAUACACUGAAGAAGUUCACAAAAGCAGGAUCUUCAGGAACAUCAACAGCAUUUGAGGGAGUUGACUCUAGAGGACCAUCCAUAACUGCCAUAGUUGGAACAGCUUCCAGUUCCUCAAACUCACUGCAGUUUAACAUAAAAGGAACUUGAUGACCAAUUUAAGUAAUAAUUAGAUGAUAUAAGAGGUUAGGGAAAAUGAUGAGUGGACCCUUAUGGAAGAUGAUUUCACCUUAGCUAAACACGAAAAUAAAAUGAAAUCAAAGCUGAAUCCUCGAGUGCAAUGCAAAUAAUUUUUUCUCUCUCUUCUCUAACUCCUCUUAUUCGAAAUUGCUCAUCAUUGUGCAGUUCCUCGAGAUUUUGCUAGAAUAGAGAAAGCUAUUCUCCCGUUAAGUGCAGAGGAAAAAGAAGGGCAAGGGCCUGGUAUGAUGCUAUUCUAUAGGAAGUGAGAAGGUGAAGGGCUAAAAUAUUUUGCAAUUUGGAGGUGGUGUUUGUUAGUGUGUGUACUUCUGAAUUUAUUACCUCUUUAGGAUCCAUAGAAAUUGCCUCUUGUUCAGCAUGCACUGUGCCUACGAGUAAGGCGAGCUUGCAUGGUAUCUAUUGUCUAUUUACUUGGAUAUUCAAACAGGACUACCAGCAACCAAACACAAAUCCCCAAACAAAACACUCUUUCAAGUGCAAGGAAAGAGUAACUUGGGCAUAUUUAUGGUUCAAGCACUACCAUAACUAAGAAUGUGAUGCUGUCCACAAACACUAUAUCAGUGCCUUUUGAACUACAUCACAUGCUCGAAGACUUUUUUUUUAGUCAUACAUAAAUUAGCUAUAAAAUUAAGACCAUUAUACAACUAAAAAGAAAGAAAAAUUGUUUGCCACUACAUAUCAAAACUGGUAAUAGCAAUGUAAGAUGGCAGACUUCUUACUUAAACAGAUGAGAGGCUACAAAUAAAAAAUUUGUGCAAAUAAAAUAUAUGAUAAAGAGCAUAAUACCUUCUUGGGGGCUAAAAAUAAUAUACAACUUGUGAAAUAUAAAUUGAGCUACCAUUACCUUUUAGAUGUGGCAACUUUCGACUUUUGAGGCACCUUGGAAUAUGCAUUCAGAAUCCUGCAUUUGGAAACCAAAUAAACAACGUUAAUAACAAUUUUACAAUAGAAAAAUUAAAAAUUGAUAAAUGGCAGUUGUAAUUUAUGUAUGCGUAAAGAUAGCUUCACAUCCAGGGUCCUCCCAUAAACAUGCUUGUAACAAGAAUUAGUUUGCCUCAACUGCUAGCAACUAUACAAUAGUAAAAAUCACUCUUAUGAACUCAACAAUACUAGGCACCAAUAAGAGUAUGAUACAGCCAUUCUAAAUGGAAGAGAAUACAACUGUUUUACAACUAUGUUGCAUCAGGAGAUAUGUUAGGAGGAUUAAUCCAGAUACCUUCCAACCCAAUUAGGAAAACUCAAGGUCAGAAACCAGGAGCUGCAACCAAACCUUACAAUCUUGAAGGAAGAAGGAGACUUGGGGCAUUUUUCCAGAUAGGUGACUUACAAGAUCUCCUGCCAAGAAAAUAUCUACUGCUUCGAACCUCCAUUGAAAUUUCUUUUCCGUUUUUCUUGUUUUGACUUGGAACUUUCCAGCAUCAUCUAUUUGAUCUUUUUUAAAGCUAAAAUAGCAAUCUAUGGGUUGUCAACAUCUUACCCCCCCCCCCCCCCCCGGGGGGCCCCCAAAAAAAAAACCAAUGAGUUGUCAAUAAAUAGCGCCUACUCAACUUAUGUUCUCCAAUGGAUGACAAUGUGCAAAUCGACCUAGCAGCCACAUUUUUCCCCCCUUUAAACCACCAUUAGGCAACUUUUCUAACCUUUCUUUAUUGCCCACGUCUACAGAACUAUCAUAUAAAGACUACAUUAUUAUUGGGAUAGAGAAAAAAAUACAGACUAUAUUAUUAUUAUAUCUCAUUUUAUUAAUUAACUAGUGCAAGACUUAUUUAGUGUCAAAUCAAGAACUAAUUAGAAAAGACAACUCAUGAUAAUACAGACCUUAAAAAGCAAUAGCUAGGACCACCCCAUGUACUCCUAUUUUAGCCUUCAAUAUCCUGGUAAAAACACAAUUAAGUCUUGCAAAAGAACAUUCACAAGUAAAUUCAACAUUAAUUAAGAUUAAGUAUCUACUGCACCUUCAAUCAAUGACUGGGUGAAUAGCAUGGUCAACCAUCCAGUUCCUGUAGCCCUCCUUGUACCUAUGUUAGUUACAUUUUACAUAUUAAGACACGAAAAUGAAGGAUCACAGCCUGGUAAAGAAAGCCAUUAAUUAAUAGUUUUUGUUUAAAAAGUUCUCGUUUAGAUCUUUCCUAUUCAAUGAAUCAAUGUAAUCCAAGGAGAACUCUUCCAUUUCAAGCAGUGUUAGAAGAUAAUUGGAAAGCCUAAAGAUAAUAUACAAGGACCAAGAUAUCAAUUAGGUCAAAUAGUGAAUGUCAAAUAUAAAAAAUAAAUAAAAGAAGUUGUACAUGAUCAUUUACUAUCAAGUUCUGUAAAACUGAAAAUACCAUUAUCCCUGUAGAGAUUCUCAAACAACUCUUUAGCAAAUUAUAAAAUAAUUAAAAAAAGAACGAAAGUUUAAAAAAAAAAAAUGUACAACAGCCAUAUCAGGAGAUGUUUUUCUUCUCAAUCUCAAUAUUUUCUAGCCGUAAAACAAUUGAAAAGCUUAACACCAAGUGAAUUAUUAAGAAUUCAUCAUUUAAAUUCCCAAAUCGCGAAAUGUUGGUGCAACUAGGAAAGUGCAAAUGCAAUCACUUUACUAACACAAGAAACAUCAAUAGUGAGAAGCCAACUUUGUAUCAAAUUUGAAACAGAUAGAUAGAGGUCAAAAAAAUUAUAAAGACACUCAAUUAAAAGCCUUUCAAACAGCUUUUGCAUGCAACAAGAACAAAUCAAAGGCGAUGUGAAUGUAUUGAAAGACUAAUUUACAAUCAUCUACAGGACAUAAAUAUCUUGGAUAACUACUCUCUAUACCCUACUGUCCCACUGAAAAUCAUCAAAUCCCUCCAAACAAAAAUGACAAAAUGGAUAAGAAUUGUGUGGUCAAACUUCAAUAACUUAGCAGCCAGAGCAAAAACUUAUGUAGACACGCAAGCCACUCAAAAUAGUCAUAUUGUUUGCUUUCCAAACACAAGCCACUUUGUAAUGAAUAUUCAUAAAUUGCUACUACCAUGUUUGUUAAAACACGUGAAAACUACCAUCACUAACUAAAUGUAACUAAUGAUCAUCAUCACGUUCAUGGAAUCACAUGUCUGACAGUAUUAAUUAGUGCAAAUGGCAUGCUUCUUAAAACUCCUUAUUUAUCACAUGGGCGCCAUUCCAAUCAACCAAUGAUUCUGAUCUAGUCAGCAUAUUCAACCUACGAGCCAGUAAUACCUCCAUUGCUUCUUUAGAUUUCUCAACAAAAUUCCACAUUCUAACCAUACUUCUGAACUUGUUGCUCCCAUAGACUAAUACAAUAUAAAGAUUUCUUCCCACACCACCUCAGCCCCCACUCCUAAAAAACCAAUUUAAAUUCUCAUUGACUGUACAACCUAUAGUCCAUACCAAAUUGAAAAACUUACAAAUAUAGAACCUCAAAGAAUCUUCUUGCGUUCCAUUUUUUACAGCAAGAAAAUUGACUUUUACCACAUGCAAGUCAACAAAUAAAACAAUCAUGUCUUUGUGAGAUGCACAUUUUCAGACGAAUCUGAAGAACAAUGAAACCAUAAAAACCUAAUAUGAGAACACUGAGGACUCCAGAUAUCAUCUAUAGAAUCUUUGGUCCACCCUUGCAUAAUGAAAAAAAAUUGAAGGCUUCGUCACCAACUCCCCAGGUUGUUUUGUUCUCCUAUCUCCUAAAUCUAAAGGAAAGGCAACCCGUUCAUUUUCCAAUCUUAAGGGGCACAGAACGACUCUGGUAUAAAAUAGUCAGUUUCUAUACAAAAAUAACUCCUUUGCACUUGGCAUUCCACAUCUCGAAAUAAAAAGCAUGCAAGGAGGAGAAUAUAAUAGCAUUAAACAAGUUUUAUUAACCAAACUUCAAAGAUGCCAGACAAGGCAAAAAAGGAAUCUGUACAAGCCAGAUCCCAAGAAUAAUAAUUCCAAUAUACAAUUCACGAAAACAAUAACUAAAACCAUGUUCAUCAGGCCUCAGCAGAAGCAACAUGUAAUAGCCAUACUCUAUUAUUUGAAACACAUUUCCAAGUUUGGAAAAGAUUCUAAACUAUUCUCGAUCUGUCAAUUAUUAACAUGUAAAACAUAAUAAUAUACGCUUAAACUACUACAGUAGUAAAACCAGUAAAACAACAAUACCUGCUAAAAAGAUUUGCUACCUCUUCACAUUCGCGAGCAUUGUAGAACCAAAUCCCAUUUACUUCUUGGGAUGCAUUUCGAUAUAACAAAUACGGAACCUGAACUUCAAACUCAAAAUCUCCCAAAAGAUUUUUCACUAAAUUAUCUGCACAUAUCCAAGAUAUUGAAGCUUCUCAGUGCAAAAACAUAUGCAAAAAGACAUGAAGGUUAGGAGACAUAACUAAAACUUAGCAACAACUGAUAAGCACAACAAGAAAUGAAAUAUAACACGAGUUGUAAACAAGAUAGACGCACGGUAUCUAAAUAAUUGUACCAACCCCCUCUCCUGAUUGUCAUAAAACGGCCAAUAUUUAACGCUAGACAACAACAUGGCAAAUACUCUAGCCUCUAUAUUAUUGGCAUAUAAAUAUUUUCGGUUGGGUACAUUAUAUUCUUCGUUCUAAAACCUCAAUCAUUAGCUAGUACUGUGAUAAAAUGAUUCAUCACUGAAAUUAAAACUAGUUCACGUACAAAUAAUCAAAACUGAAAUAGAAACAAGGACAAACCAACCCGUAUUACGUCGAUUCAUUACAACAAACUGAAAUCGAGGCUGUGUGUUCCUGAAAAUUGAAAAAAUAAUAAUUUCACCAACUUCAUAUGUAAUACAAUCUCCAAAACAACGAAUAUCAAAUGAAAAAAUGGAAAGCAUAAGAGAGAAAAGAAUCUAAUUUUAUUGACCUUUUGACGACGAAGAGAGAUCCUUCAACAUCCUUAUGACUCCAUUGGCUGAGGUCGAUGUUGAACUCGUAGAAGGUGACAUGAGCGGCCGUGAUGAGGAUCUCCUCAAUGAAUGGAUCGAUUCGCUGAAGAACUGUCAGGUUUAGGAGUUUUGUGCUCUGCUGGUCCAGAUUAGCCAUUAAUUUUCCGUUCUGCGACAUUUUUCAUAGUCCUUUUGGGCUCUGCCCCGAGCACAAGCGCCAUGGUUUUUCUGUGAGCUCUCUCUUUUGUAAAUAAAGUGUUUGAUGAGAUAGCCGAGAGAGAGUGAAAGAGUUGAGACUCGAGAUUGAUCUUGCUUUAACUUCUUUCAAACAUUUGGGAAAUAGCAUUUAGACCCCAAAAUUAGAUUUAUUAUAAUCAUUUUUUACCCGUACACUAUUAAUCCCUUUUAUUUUUUAAAUUGUCAAUAUUAAUGUAUUAGAAUAAUGUUAGAAAUCCCAAUUAUUAUCUCAAUGUUUCAAUCAUAACUAAUGUGAUAACUCAUCGGUGACUGUAACAUUAACCUAAUUAUUAAUGUUUAUCAUGAAAUGAUGAGAUUAUUAUUCAAGAAAAACUUAGUAAACAUCAAUGACUAAUAUAAUAUGACAAUUACAGCUGAAUAUUAGUACAAUAAUUAGGAUCCCUAAAGUUAGUGAAUGUAUUAUAAUAUAUGUGUGUUACACUAUUUUAUGUCUCUCAAAUUCAAUUAAGUAAUUUCAGAGACCUAACCUUUUAUUACAUUAAAUUAAGAAUGUAUACAUGAACAAAAGAUGUGCAGUUUUUGUUUUAUUUUUCACUAUUAUUUGCCAUUCAUCUACGUACGUCACUUGAUUUUUUGCGAUUAAUAUGCUUAAAUGGAUCUCUUUGAUAUAAAUAAAAUAAACGAAAAGUCUAAGAGAAAAAAAAAAUGAGGACCGAAAUUAUUACACCUACAACAAAUUUGCCCAGAGAGCAAUAAAUCAAACUUGCUUAGGAAGUUCAACAAUGAUUAGUUAAUAACUAAAAGAGCCUUCACCUAACAUGUUAAAGCUUCCGUCAAGCACAAACCCAUUGAAAGCUGUUUAGGUCCGUUUUCGAUCAUCGGAAAUUUGACAAAAUCAUAAAAACCCUCAUCUUAGAAAUUCCAAGCAUCAGGCAAUAGUCCGACUUUAUUGAUAUUGAGAGUAACACAAUAAAAGUUUCGUACAGAUUUUGCAAACGAAAAGCACAUAAUACACUUAACUAGGUGGAAAAAUUAAAGUGUAUGUAUUACAAACUGCUAACAAUAUACAAUAGUAAAAAUCACUCUUAUGAACUCACAAAUACUAGGCACCAAUAAGAGUAUGAUACAGCCAUUCUAAAUGAAAGAGAAUACAACUGUUUUACAACUAUGUCACAUCAAGAGAUAUGUUAGCAGGAUUAAUCCAGAUACCUAGGGAUGGCAACUGGAUCGCUCUAUAAUGGAUAUCCACAAUAUCCAUCCAAUUGGAUCGGAUAAUAUCCAUCCAAAAAUUUUUAGAUUUUGAAAUGGAUAUUUUAAAAUUAUAUCCAAAUGGAUAUGGAUGGAUAUAGAUAAUUAUUUUUACCCAAUGGAUAUCUAUUUAACCCAACACAAGUUUAAAAAAUUUUAAUUUUAUAAAAUAAAAAAUAAAAAAUAUAAUAAACAAACAAUUGUAAAAAUAUUAUAUUAACUAGUGAAAAUUUUAAAUUCAUCUUAUAUUAAAAACUAAAGUUUUCAAAAUUAUCCUUUAAUUUUUUAACUUAUUUAAUAUUAUUAAAAAUUAUUAUUUUAUUUUAUUAAUUUAAUAUUAUAAAUGGACAUCCACCGGAAAGUCACCGGACCUCCUCCGGAAUUCACCGGAAAGUUGCCGGACCACCGUCGACUUCGCCGGAAUUCGCUGGAAAGUUGCCGGACCACCGCCACCAACCACCAGACCGCCAUUUUAUAUAUAUAUAUAUAUAUAUAUAUAUAUAUAUAUAUAUAUAUAUAUAUAUAUAUUAUUACUAAUAUAAAUAGUUUAAUAACCAAAUUUAAUAUUGGAAUUUUAAUUAUUUUAUAUUAUUAUUUUUAUAUAAUAAAAAUAAAAUAUCCAUAGAUAUUCAUGGGUCUCCAUAGUUAUAUGGAUAAAAUCUAUAUCCAUGUCCAAUAUUAAAUACUGGAUAUGGAUAUAGAUAUAUCCAUUAUCGAUAAUUAUGGAUUUGUGUUUGGAUGGAUAAUAUCCAUCCAUAAUUGAAUAUUUGCCAUCCCUACAUAUACCUUUGAACCCAAUUAACCAACUCGAGUCAGAAACCAGGGGCCCCCAACUGAACCUUACAAUCUUGAAGGAAGAAGGAGACUUGUGGUCCAGAUAGGAGACUUACUAGAUCUCCUGCAAAAGAGAAUAUCUAUUGCUUUGAACCUCCAUUGAAAUUUCUUUUUCUCUUUUUCUUGUUUUAACUUGGAACUUUCCAGCAUCAUCUAUUUGAUCUUUUUUGAAGGUAAAAUAGCAAUCUAUAGGUUGCCAACAUGUUAUUCUGCCAAACCCCACCCCCCGGGGGACAACAAAUAGUGCCUACUCAACUUAUGUUUUCCAAUGGACGACAAUAUGCAAAUCGACCCAGUAGCCACAUUUUUCCUCCCUUUCAACCACCGUUAGGCAACUUUUCUAACCUUCCUUCAUUGCCCACACGUACAGAACUAUAAUAAAAAGACUACAUUAUUAUUGGGGUAGAGAAAAUAUGCAGACUAUAUUAUUAUUACAUCACAUUUUACUAAUUAACUAGUGCACGACUUAUUUAGUGUCAAAUCAAGAACUAAUUAGAAAAGACAACUCUUGAUAAUACAGACCUUAACAAGCAAUAGCUAACAACAUCCCAUAUACUCUUAUUUUAGCCUUCACUAUCCUGGUAAAAACACAAAUAAGUCUUGCAAACGAACAUUUAUAAGUAAAUUCAACAUUAAUUAAGAUUAGGUAUCUACUGCACCUUCAAUCAAUGACUGGGUGAAUAGCAUGGUCAACCAUCUAGUUCCUGUAGCCUUCCAUGUACCUAUGUUAGUUACAUUUUAUAUAUUAAGCCAUGAAAAUGAAGAACUCUUCCAUUUCAAACAGUGUUAGAAGAUAUUUGCAAAGCCUAAAGAUAACAUACGAGGACCAAGAUAUACACAGAUAGUUUCUUUACGGGACUAAAGAGCUUUUUUAGAUGUUAAAACUGUUUCAAACUCUUUUUCUUGUUUGGUUUAACUAAGGAAGAGCUUGUGGAAGAUUAAAAAUGAUGUUUCCUGUUCUCUGUAGGAAGCUUUUAGGAGAUUUUUUGGGUUUUUUUGAAAGGUUGAAUUGUCAAAAAUACCUUGAUGUUAUUGUUUGCUAAAAGAUGUUAUGGACAACUAAACAACCAACAACAUUUUGUUAAAAGCUCUACUAGUGUAGGAUCUACUUAAAGAAGCUAUACCAAACAGAUUCUUAGACUAAAUAACUCGAUCUUAAGUUUGUAAAAUUGGGCUCAGAAUCUCCACUAACAACCCCGCUUCGGUGAGAAAGCCCAAGCCUGUUACUUUGUAUAACCUUAUUCUGUAUGUUUGAUUGCAGGAACUGGCCGAUCAUACCGACGAGGUGAGUGUGCAACAUGAGGUGCUUGACGGGAUGUUUACUUUCUAUGAUACAACUAAAGCUAGCCUCAACAUAUAUCAGGUGCCUGCUUGUUUUUACCUUCUAGAUACUAAUAUUGUUUAGACGUGUAAUCUCUCUCUCCAUUGAACGCUAGACGGCUCGUCUCAAGCCUUCUACGUACAUCAGAGUCCUUCUUUAGCUUUUUAUGUAUAAAGUUUUGAUCUUUUUCCUUCAUUUGCUUGAAGCUCAUUACUGCAGAUUUUUUUUACAGGUUGCUAGUGUAACAUUCGACUUGCUGUUGCUUCUAGUGUUGGGAUCGUAUUUAAUUGUGCUUUUCAGCUUUCUUGUCACAACAACUUGGGUAUUACUCUUUCUCCAUAUCAAGCUUGAAGUUCUAAAUUUCAGUUUUAUCUUUUAUUUGAUGUUUUAUAAUUUCAUUGCAAACAGAUUAGAAUAGAAACUUCAAAAGUUCCAACUGACUAGUCCCGUGUAACUUUUUCAGGGAAUAUUUUCUCUCAUAACAACUACGAAUGUGUUAUGGUUUAGCUCAGUGACACAAAGGAUAGAAAAUCUAAGAUGCGAAAAAUUUUUGUUGAGAUUCAUUUUUCAUCCUGAUGUUACAGCUGGCCUUUUUUUUUUUUUUUGGCAGAGAAUAAUGCUUGUGUGAUUUCUGAACUUGGUGAUUGUUGAAAUGAGCUGAAAAUGAGCUGGAAAUGUGUUUGGUUAAUGAGAAAGAGAGCAAGAAAAUGAAAGAAAUCUAUUUCACUUUUUAUUUAUCAGCAUGAUUACAUUCACAAUAAAUCUAAGCUGCUAUUUAUACUUAAAUGAAUACACACGAGAAUCUUCUUGCUAGAUACUUCUAGAAACUCUACACGCACACUCACAUUGAGCUAGUGGUUACUAAAACCGUUACAACGAUAUUGCCAGCUCAGCAUAACCAACUUAUAACUAACACACUCAGCUGCAGGGGAAACCAUCAAGCUUACUGUGCAUCCUCUGUACUCAAGCUUCUUUAAGCAUGCUCUGCAGAUCAUACUCAAGCUUUUUUUUUCAUAGAAGUUGCAAUCUUUACGUUAUAUACUAGUUUGACUAGGCUAUAUAAGGAAGCUAUAUGAAAUUAGAAAAAUAAGCUAUACUAGGAAAGAAUAAAUAUAUGUACAGAAAAUUAGGCUAUAAUCUCUGACUUUAAACAAAUUUAAUAUCAAUUUUCUUCUGGAAGUUGUCUCGCAUGGGGCGCAUCAGUAUUGUAACGUCUGAUGGGUCUUACAUUAUCCACAAAAAUAACUCGUCCAUCUAGUACCUGCAAGUACAUACUCUGAGAUGCUUAAACUCAACAAUAUAAGCAUGGAAAAUUAGAGAAAAAUGAUGCAAUUUUACCUUCCCAUUCAUGUCUGCCGAGGCUUUUUGGGCUUCCUCUUCUGUACUGAAAGUCACAUAUCCGUAACCUUUUGAUCUAUUCUUACCUUUAUCCAUUAUUAUUGUAGCUGCAAACAGAAAAGAAUCGGAUAUUACAAAAUAGUGAAGAGGGAAGAGGGGUUGAGACUUAAAACAGAAAUAGACCAAACCCUCAGUGACGUGGCCAAAUUGUGAAAAAGCAUCAGCUAACAUUUCUUUAGUGGUUGAGAAAGAUACGCCUGCAAAGGAUGCCAGUUAAUUUUAUCAUAAUUUUAGAUGGUAAGAUUGCAAAUUCUGCAGCCAAAGGUAGUACGGAACUGAAUGAAGGAAAUCAAAUAUGAAUAUGUUUUCAAUCUCAGAAUAUUAAGAGUAGCAUAAGUAACUUGUGAAACAGUUACAAGUUCAACGGAAUUAACUGAUGGCAUGGUUGAAUUUUGUAAAUAUUUGAUAUUUUGAACCGAACACGGCAAACAGAUGGAUCCAGAUAAUCAAGAAAAACAUCAAUUCCAUGCAACCAAAUUAGUGUGGGCAAUGCAAUUGAGCAACACUAUAAAAUUAUUCAAAGAAAUCUCUAGGUCAGUAUCCAAAUAUAUUUCUGAAAAUGUUUUUUUCUCAUUAGCGCCGCCAUUUUUGUAAUAGAGGGUAAAGAAAUAAGUAACAAAGUAAGAGGUGAGCAGAAGCGGCCCAAUUUAGCUAUAUGCCAUGCAUGCGAUCAAAAUUGAACGGUUAAAUGGCAGCCACUAUGUUACAUCUUGUGUAAGUAACAAACCGCCUACAUGGAUCGUUGGAUUUGGGAAUAUGAAAUCCAAUGGAUAAUAUUGAAUUUAACGAAAAAUAGAUUACAGGUUGCAUUAGUCCAAGUUUAUUUCAAACAAACCAGCUGACGAAAUAGCCGCUAAUCAAAUUUAAAAGGGAAAAAAAAAUCAAAUUAUAGGUUAUAGAUCUUAUUUCCAUCUUAAAUCUAUGUCUUUCGUGGUGACUCAAUUUGUAAACUAAUUUAUAAUUUGGAUCUAUAUUAGAGCUAAUGCUUCCCUAAAUAACUAAGAAAAUUUUCUUUUCAUUGAUUAAAUAUUUAUUUCCAAUAUCUUGUAUAUGUAGGAUUUGAAAAGAGGGAAAAUAGUAGGGAUGAUAAUGAGAGAAGAUAGAGAUGUCGAUUCUCAAAUCUAAUAUUAGUGCUAUACUUAUAUUCCUAUACUAAAUAAAUUAUCCAAGGUUCGUGCUUAACGAUACGUUGCAAAAUUUUAAUUUCUAUUUAAAGCUCUGUCUAAUAUGGCUUUUCAUAAAGCUUAGAGAAAAGUAGAGCUUUUACCAAAAAAAAAUUAAUUAGAAUUGUCAAUGAUAAAUUUUAAAAAGUACUUUAAUAAAUAAGCUUUUAAAGUUAUAUAUAUUAUGAAAGAAAUGAAAUAAGAUUAUAUAAUAAAUUAAGAGUAUCUUAGAUAAUUGAACUUUAAAAAAAAAACUCGCUAAGAGGUUUAAAAUUUGAGUUUUAAUAGUGGAUACAAAAUAGUUUAUUUAAUUCUCAAAAGCUCUACUCAAAAUAGUUUAUUUAAUUCUCAAAAAAUAUUUUUUUCAUUGAGUAAAUAAUACUAAACAUGCACUAAAGUGUUAGGACCAGAAGUUGUACAAAAAAUGAUGGCUACAACUUAAAUUAUGAAUGGAGUAAUCGGAGAAUAUUGAAACCCGUUUAAUUUGGAUCGUGCAUUGAGGGACGAAAGGAUAAAAAAUUUAAUUUUGAAAUUGCUGUUGGGUACGGUACAAUGACUUACCGUUGACAGCUUUUGCAACCGGAUUACAAUCGGUUAGUUCAAUAAUUUUAUAUCCCCAUUUAACCGCCACGUGCUGCUGUUACAUGGGUCAAUUAGUCAUGUCAUUACUGUUACUUACAGAUGCCGUAACAUAACCGGACCCUGGUUAAAUUCUGUUGUUUCCAAUAAUUUUAUGCUGUAUCUUCUUUAAUAAUAAAGAAAACUUGCAUUAAAAUUAAAAUUAGGGUAAUACCUGAUUUUAUAAAUAGAUUGCAAUGUAAUUUUGAAAAAUAAAACAAUAAUUUACAAAAUGUUUAUAACAUAAUUUUAAUUUUUUUUCAAAAAGGAAAAAGAACAAAAGUAAGAAAUAGAGAAUUAGGGCUACAAACUUUGUAUCUUAAACGGCCGUUAGAUUAUUUGUAAAUGAAAGCAACGGUCAGAUAUUGGUGGAUUAUGGAAACAUGUAAUCAUAAGGACUGUGAGUUUUUUUUGUUACAUUAAUAUAUUACAAUCAAAUUCUAUUAGUAUUUACAACUAGAAUUUCAUUUGACUAUCUUUGAUAAUUCUAAACUAGUACAACCCAAAUUCUUAUUCUCACAUAAUAUCAAAGAGAGAUAUAUAUUCUUCUCCUCUAUUAAUAAAGAGACAUUUUUAUUUCCUUUUAAUAGUUAGGACUCAGAACUCAUACACGCUAGUUUGAGAGUGUUGGGUGUGACAAUGAGCCAGGAGACCAUUGACAAGUACAAAAGAGUGGUAGAAAUUAAUUCAAUCCGCUACACACGCUAUUGCAACCAAAUUGAGGGCCCAUUUUUGUUUAUUUGGUUGAAAAAUAGUUUGCAUAAUUAAUUCAAACCGCUACACACGCUAUUGCAACCAAAUUGAGGGCCCAUUUUUGUUUAUUUCGUUGAAAAGCAGUUUGCACAAUUAAUUCAAACCGCUACACACGCUAUUGCAUCUUUUGAAAAAGAAAAACAGAAUAGUUUUCUAAAAUUAAUUCCGAGAAGAAGAUUAACUAAUAAUGAUGUUAGAAAUUUUAAUAUUUGAGUCUUAAUAUUAUGUAUCACUCAUUUAUUAAAUAAUAGAUUUCAUAAUUUAUAAAAUUACUUAACCACUUGAUAAAUGUUAUAUUUGUUGGGACUAAAUUGGGACUUAAAUGUUGGAAUAUCUAGUAUUGCAUUAAAAAAUAAAUAAAAACAUAACAAUUUAUCUUCACUUGACUAAUUGUUUUUACAUCACAACUAACCUUAAUUAUUUUGAAAGUUACAGUAUUAUUAAAUUGUCCUAACUGGUUAUCAAAAGUUGAAGCAUGUUAAAAUAAAAAAAAUUACCAAGAAACAUGUGCUUAAACAGAGGUUAAGGCUAUGAACAAUUAAGAAGAAACUCUUAAUUUGGUCCCAGUUAGUAUAAUAAUCAUCUAUUGAGCGGUAAAAUAUUAAUUUUAAUAGUGAUGAAAUCCAAUAUAUAAUAGAUUAAUAACACACAUAAAUUAAAACUUAACUGUCAGAAAUCAUAACAUUACUCUACUCUUCAGUAGAGUUCUCUUAACAGAUUAUGUGAGAUUGCCUACAUUAAAAAUAGGUUAAGACUGCUUGUUGAAAGCAAUAUUCGCUUUUUCAUUAUAUCCAUAACUUUGUUGGGUCCCUCUAUGGUGCCGUAAUUUUUUUUACGGUAUUAAUAGUGUAACAAAUUUGUACCAUUAGAUAUAAUCAACGGUACACAUUAUUUUUAAUAAUGAAAAUAUUUAAUUAUUUCACAAAUGUUAUAACCGGUUAACAAACCGGUUGCAAAACCUAUUUUAAAUUUAAAAGGAAAGAAAAUAGAGAUAUAAUAAAACUCAAUCUCCUUCUUUAUCUCAUAAAAUUCGUAAUCUGUUUAUCUCCUUUGUUGUUGUAUUGAAAUUGGAUUCCUCAAUGCUGUCUCAGUUCACAAAUGAUUAAUCGUGUCAAAUCGUAAGCUUGUUCUUAUCGUUCAACUUUUUCUCCAUUUAUUGCCACAUUUAUUUGAUAGGUAGGCUUUUAAAUUUAUUGCUCGAUGGUGACAUUAGACAAGGAAUCACAGAUUUGAUGUUCUUUGUUGUACUAAAUUCAUAUCAAAUCUUGCUUUGAUGCUAUAAUAUAUUUAGUUACUACCUUACAUUUUCUUUUUUCACAUUUGAAAACAAAUUCUUUUUAUUCAUAGGAUUACAUAAAGUGCGCAGCCCUGAAGUUUGAACUUCAAAGGAUAAAGUUGCAUUGCAGCAUGUUAAGCAGCAAAGCUUCUUCACUGCAUUAGAUAGAAGACGGUGAAUCAAGUGCAGCCAAGACUUGGCUGAGUCAGCAAUUAACCACCAAUCGUUUAAGAAAGAGGGGCAAAGCAAGUUGAGGCCCACUUAUUAAUCUUAGCCUCUGAUUCCAUUCUCCUUUUCUCCGUCCUGAUUUGAUUAUCUCCAGCAGUGACGCUAAAGGUUAAACUGGCAUGAUCUUGCCCACAUAUAAAUGUAUUUUUUUUUUUUAGGAUCUGAAGGGGCAAAUUUUUUUUUCAAGUUUGUUAUAUGAUCUUUUGUGAAGACCUGAAGAUACGAGAGUCAGAUUAAUAAUUUUGUCUCUCUUAGGCUUUAUGCAGUGGGAAUGAACUUUCUCUCUUUUAAUUCUCUGCCAUUUUCUCAAUGAAGGCAGCAAGAGAAUAUUCAGUCUUUCAAAGUCUCAACAUUCAUAAUUUGGCCAGUCUAGUUGUUUACCUUGCAUCUGCUGGAGUAUUAUAUCGCCAAGAGAUUUUUCCGUUGCACUUUACGAAUUUAUAUUAUUUUGAGGAGGGAAUUCAGCUAACUAUUAAUAUCAUACAAUUGAAAUUUAAAUGUCGGUCUUUAAAUUCUAAAGAUUAAAGACAAGCCUAAUAUGAAAAUACAGAUGUUAAAAUCUUCAUUUUUGUUUAUUGAUACUUUAUUUGUUAGUAUCAUAAUUUUAGAGAUAUAUUUGAUGUUACAUGAUUGACUAAAUAUUAACAUUAAAAUGCAGAUGGAAAGAAAAAAUGAUGGAGGGCUCCAUAAAAGCAUAAAAAGAAACGGAGAUGGUGAAGCAAACUUUCGAAAUUGCAACCAUGAGAAGGAAUUGACAAAGCUUAAUGAAAAAAUGGAUGGGAUGACAUUUAAUCUUGUCGCUGUCAGGCAUGAACUUGGUGAGCUGAAGAGGAACAAUUUAGAUACUUAUGCAUUGGUACAAAAAAUGUAUAGUGUAGUUGAAGCACUUGAACGUAAUAUAACUCAUAUGCAAUCACACGCAUGGAAGGAAAAGAUGAACUCUUCUAGUAAAGAUGUUCAAAAUAGUAAAAAUGAAUCAAGUGGUCAAAAUUUCGUGGAAAAGGGAGAUGAGUUUGGGGUGAAGAUCGCAGAGAUUAAGGACAAGAUUGAAGACGCAUGUGAUGAAAAUUUAUCAUUGAAAAACUUAUUUGUGUAUAGGAAACAAAAAGAGAACCAAAUCUUCCACAAUGUUGUUAAAAAGGUAUGAUAAUAAACUAUUAUUCUACAUUUUUUUUUCAAAAAUAUUUGUAUAGCACAUUCAUUAAACAAAAAAAUAAUAAUAAUAAAAUUCAUGUUCUUAUGCAUGUAGGAUAAAGCCAUGGAUGCAGUUGAUUUUGUGGAUUUGGUAUCAUCGGUGGAAGUAGAUGCAAUUGAGGAUAAAAAGGUGCGUCCUCGAAAGCCCAGUCGUUAUAAAAAAUCUCCUUAUGAAAAUUUUACAAAAAAAAAAGGCUAUCGCAAGAAGGAGUUCGAUUUAUCCAAACAUGGAGCUUCUUUUUCGGAGGAAGAAUGGUAUAUUUUACAGUAUAUUUUUCAUGAACAACUAGAUAAAAGGUAUGGAACUAUUUAAAUAUAAUCAUAUUUUAUAUGUUUGUAUUUUGAUGUUAUUAUUUGUUUUAAUUAACUAUUAAUGUGAGUGUAUAACUUAUGCAGAGAGAAAAUUGUAAUGACAAAACGACAUAUUGUUACCCGCUUCUUAAUGUCUUCUUUAGCUCCUAAUGUUUGGAUAUUUGAUGAGGUAUAUUGUGUUAGUGUGUGUGUCUAAUAUUCAGAGCGUAAUAAGAUUAUAUGUAUUUAAUUUAUAAUUUAUUUUUCAUUUGGUAGUGCAUGUUUUAAUAAUAAUGUUGUGAUGAUUUUAUUCAUAGAUCAUAAGUUGCUAUGCUGAGUAUUUAACUAGAAAGGAGAGUUUGAAGCAAGAUAAUGAGACUCGAAAUUGGUUUUUACCAACUCUUUUUGGGGUAUGUUAUAAAUUUUUGUUGUUACAAAUAUAUAAUAUGCUUUUACAAAAAAAUUAGAAUUUUUUUAAAAUUAUAUCUUACCAUCUUCAUAUAAUUAUUAAUUUAUGAAUGUUGUAGCAAAUAGUGGCGAAUGUGUCAGGUGUUUCAACUAUUGAUAGAUCAGAGAUUGAAAUUUCGGUUCGUAAACAUAACAUUUGUGAAUUUUACAUGGGUGCACUCAAAAGAUGUGAAAAGGUCAGGAAUAUUAUCAUAUGUUCAAAAAACAAAAAAAUUUAUUUACUCAAAUAUCAUAUGUUUUAUUAUUAUCAUUUGAAGGGAGUAAUGAUUAAUACAAAAUUAGUGUAUUGUUGCACAGAUAUAUGUUCCUCUUUAUGACGGGCUUGCAAAACAUUGGUAUCUUGUAAUAAUGAAUAUAAAAGAUAAGACUGCUGAGAUUUGGGAUUCUUUGCCUAAUUCUGAAAUAGAACCAAAUCAUCGUCAAGAAAUCGUUAAGCAAAAUGUAAGUUCAAAUUUUUUAUUUGUUUAUAUGAAAUUACUAGAUGCAAUAUAUAUUAACUAUCAUUAUUAUUAUGCAGUACAUGCAUUGGNNNNNNNNNNNNNNNNNNNNNNNNNNNNNNNNNNNNNNNNNNNNNNNNNNNNNNNNNNNNNNNNNNNNNNNNNNNNNNNNNNNNNNNNNNNNNNNNNNNNCCUAGUCUUGCUUCGUGAUAUAGCCUUUAACUUUCCUUCUGAUUGGGUAUUUCGUUGACUUUGACAUUUUAUAUCCAAAUAAUGUGCCAAUUCAACCAAAUGGAAAUGAUUGUGGCUUGUAUGUGAUGAAGUUUAUGGAGACUCCAUGUGAGAUGUUAUUCCCAACUUAUAAGGUAACUUAAUCAUACAAUUUAUAUUUCUUAGUUUGCACAAUACUUUAAUCAAUAUUAAAUUGUUAUUAAUUCUAUUAUAUGCAGUAUGAAUCGGAUGAAGAAAGAUUUCGUCUUGCGCUACUCCUUGUAAAUGGUGAUGCAAAUGAAGUAAGAGAUAGUGUUAUACAAAAAGCACUAUCAUUCCGUGGUCCUAAGACGAAUGUUAUUGCAACUAGUAAAGUUAGAACUAAAGUUGCUUCUCAAAAAAAACAUCGUUCAAUUAAUAAAGUUAGAACUGUAAUUGGUACUGGAGAAUAUUUGAAGAAACCAGGAAGAAAAUCCAAUUGAUCUGCCUAGUAGAGGUUUAAUAAAUUUGGUAUUGGACGUAAUUUGUAUUUUGUCACUUUUAAUUUUUUUGUCCCCUCAAUUGAAUUUUAUAUUCAAUGUAAAGUUUUUAUUUGGAUUACUUAAUUUUCUUUUUUAGUUUUUAAGUUUUUGGAUUACUCUUUAUGAAAAUUUUGUGUCUUGUUACUUUCAAUUUUUUUUGUCCCCUUUAAUUGACCUUUGUAUUCGAUGUAAAGUUUUUAUUUGGAUUACUCAUUAAGUUUUGUUAGCUUUUGAGUUUAUGGUCUCUUCCAAUUAAAAACUUUCAAAAAAUAAUAGCCUGCUUUUUUUUUUUUUGUGUGUGUUUUAAGUUCAGCCUACAAGUGAAUGACUGUAAGUCGUUAACUAAAAAUCUAAAAAUGUCAAAUGUCAAAUAUUCUUCCGCUUCUCAUCACCUUCUUUUCCAACCUAUAAUAUGCCAAACAAAAAUGCAUCAAUAAAAAUAAAUUUAGAUAACAGCUAAAAUAUUCAACCUUUGUAAGAAUUAUCCUAAUAUAAAUAUACCUCAUUAAGUACUGGACAUUUGCGUCUAUUGUGUCCAGGUAAUUUGCAAUACCCACAUUUUUUCAAAUUGACGCCUUUAUUAAAUCUUGCACUAGGAGCACCUUUCGUCUUCACACUUAAUGGAUCUUUUAUAAUAGCAACAUUUCUCUUCUCACUGGACCAUCUACCUCUUUUCUCUUCAAAAUUCCCACUCAACUCUAACAUUUCAGACUUAAGUUGUGUGAUAAGACCCUUUAAUUUCAAGUAUCCAGCAUCUGUCAUCGAGGCAUAGAAAAAUGUGUCUAGUUACAGAAGAAAUUUACAGAAUCAAAUUUUGACUUCGCUUCUUAAAGAUAUUCACGAUUUAGUGCACAAAGGUCACAACCGUCUAGAAACCACACAAGAUCCGAUGUUUCUGAAUUAACUGAUAUCAAUUAACAAGGAAUAAAAUUAAAAACUAUAUAUCUAUAGAAAGAUUUAUUUUUCAGGAGUUCAAAUAAUUUUACGGUUUUCUAUUUGAAGUUUUCUACAUGAAGAUAUGGCUUAAAGAAUGCUGACUGCUCAAAAUCACUGAAGCAACCAAGUCUAUGAUUAUCAGAAAACUUGCAUGAUUAAACUGUACUGAUCUAGAAUAUAUGAGAUUGCAUACUAUAUAUUUUUUGAUAGAUAAAUAUGUCUAGUUACAGAAGAAAUUUACAGAAUCAAUUUUCGACUUCGCUUCUUAAAGAUAUUCACGAUUUAGUGCACAAAGGUCACAACCGUCUAGAAACCACACAAGAUCCGAUGUUUCUGAAUUAACUGAUAUCAAUUAACAAGGAAUAAAAUUACAAACUAUAUAUCUAUAGAAAGAUUUAUUUUUCAGGAGUUCAAAUAAUUUUACGGUUUUCUAUUUGAAGUUGUCUACAUGAUGGCUGAUGUGUUUCAGCAGAUAUUACAAGAGGAAAUAUAUCUUCUCCCAGUGAUGGUUUUGAGAGAUCGUCCAACUCAUAGAAGCCUAAGUCGAUGCCUGUUCCCGAAGGCUGACGAAACUUCUGACCCAAUCCUUUCUUAAAGGGAAUUUUUGCCGGCAUAUAAGCUUCAGGAAACAGUGGAACAAACUUACAGUUGGGCUCUUCCUUGGCAAAGUAGAAAACAGUGAUGCUGCAGAUAAGAAAAGAAAAUAAAGAGAUAUGGCUUAAAGAAUGCUGACUGCUCAGAAUCACCAAAGCAACCAAGCCUCUGAUUAUCAGCCAAAUUCCAUGAUUUAACUGUAUUGAUCUAGAAUAUAUGACAUUACAUAAUAUAUAUGUUUGGAUAGAUGAAUGUAUCUAGUUGUGGAAGAAAUUUACAGAAUCAAGAUAGACUAAUAAUAACUUAAUAUUAACAAAAUUUUUAUUGUACAUGUUAUUUUAUCAAUUAUAUUUAUUGUAACACUUUAUUUGUAUCAUAUGAUUUUUAUUUGUUAUUUUUAUCCUAUUACUAUAUUUAUAUUUAUUUAGAUUGAUUUAGUCAAAAGGUAUAAUAGUCAUUUAGGAAAUUAAGAGGGUCUAUGUGACUAUUUAUGAAACUAAAGGAACAUGUAUAAUUAUUUUAGCAAAUCUUAGGGGUGUGGGUGGUUUUUUCCGAAAUUAAUAUUGAUUUAAAAUUAAAAAAUUAAUAUUUACCUGUAACCUGUAAGUUACCUGCUCUAUUUUAAUUAAUUAUCUAAUUAUCUAUUAUAUUAAAUGAAUGAUUCAGAUUAAAACUCUUAUAUCUAAGGGUCCACAUUAGUUCCACUAUCAAUACUGUAAAAAUAAAUACAGCAUCAUAAAGAAAUCCAACUUUGAAUUGAUAAAGUUGUAUUCAACAGCUCUUGAAAAGACUAAGCUGGUCUUCUUUGCAUUUGAUCACUGGUAUUUCAGUUAAGUUUGUCGUUUACUUAAAUUUUUCUUGCUUUCAAUUUCCACUGUUGUUUUUUUUUUAAUAAAAUAAUUUGUUUAACUAGUCAUAGAAAUAAGAGAGAAAAUGGGCCAUUUCUUGACUCAAAGUCAAUUAUAAUUAUCAAAACUUGAGCGGACAUUGCAUGCCUAAAUUCCACGCACCCUAAAACGGUUUGAUUUGCUUUCACGCGUUCAUGAUUUUGCAUGAAAGAGAGUGCCUCUCGUCUCUUUCCGGACAGUGACUACAGUCAUGGAAAAAUUAUGUUAACGUGACGAAUACAAAACGUUAUUACAUACAAGAAUAAGUUUUUGGACCCGAGACUUGAGGGAGGUUCUAUCUAAUUCUAAAGAUUGUAACCAAAGCAUUAUCCCCAAUUUUUUUAAGUUAAAUAAAAUAAAAUUUAUGCUUAAGUAUAAAUAAUUUUUUAAAGUUAAAUAUAAAAUAAAAUUCAUGAACUUCCAAGAAAGAAAGAAGACCCUUCACCUUCUUCGUGACAACAAAUGAUGUUGAUAUGACAAAUACAAGCGCUAGUACAGGGAACAGCAUAAGACCGAGACUUGAUAAAUAUUAAAUAUAUAAAAUAAGUGGAGCAAACGAACAGAAUAAUAGAUUUUUAUAAUAUUCUUCAUAAAAAUCCAAGUUUUGAGCUGGCCCAUAAGCUUAUCUAGUGAAGUCUGGGUAUCCGCGUUGCCCAAGGUUCCGUUUGAAUUCAGGCUGUGCUGAUAUUUAUGACAUCCGACGGAGAGGAAAUAUUUUCAGUUGACUAAAUUAAAUAAAAGUAUAUUAUAAUCAUAUUAUAUAUUAGCAACAAAAAUAAAAAGAAAUGAAGAAAAACGCAUGCAAGACUUAGAGAAGUCAAUUAAAAGAUGGGAGUAUCAUCAGUUCAAUUGGUUAUAAAUAGCGUAGAGCCAUCCUCUCGUUGUUGCAGAAGAGAGACAGAAAGAGUGUGUGUAGGUGAUUAUAAUUAAGAAGAUAUAAUGUGUGGUUCAAAAAGAGUGUGGGUGAGUGAGUUAAUACUCAUAUUAUUAGUAGUAAAAGGGUGGUGGAGUGAGGGAUGUUUGGAGCAAGAGAGGUCUGCUCUCCUCCAACUCAGACAUUUCUUCAAUGAUGAUCAACGUCUUCAAAACUGGGUAGACGAUGAGAAUAAUUUAGAUUGUUGUCAGUGGGAAGGGAUUGAGUGCAACAACACCACUGGCAGUGUGAUUAAAUUAGAUCUAGCACAAACUCGAAAAUGGGAAUCAGCGAAGUGGUAUAUGAAUGCCUCUCUGUUUACUCCCUUUCAACAAUUAGAGUCUCUUGAUCUAAUUGGGAACAAUAUAGCUGAUUGUGUUAAAAACGAAGGUCAUUAAUUUACUCUAUUUUAAUUCUUCCUCCUCGUAAUUUCUUACAUCUAUCUGAUCCCUUUUGGCUUUUGUUUAAUUUGUACGUGAUACAAUAAAAUUAUUUUUUUUCAGGUUUGGAGAGGUUAUCAAGGUUGAACAACUUGAAGUUUCUUUUUUUAGAUGAUAACUACUUCAACAACAGCAUCUUUUCAUCUCUAGGUGGUCUUUCAUCACUCAGACACUUAUCAUUGGCUGUUAAUAGAUUGAAUGGAAGUGAUGAUAUUAAAGGUAAGUAAGCUUCAUCCCUUCUCCCGUGUCCCAUCUUUGUGGAUCUUAUUUCAUCGACCAGCUGGAAGUAUUGAUACGAGAUCUAGCUAGACUCUUGCUAGUUUAAGCUUCAAGGCUUUGAAUAUUAUAAAAAUAGGUUUAAGGAAUUAUCAAUAUAUGCAAUUUUCUAUGCUUCUCAUAAUCAGACACAAUUCAAUCUAAUUAUUUCGUAUGUCCUCUCUUCAAAAGUAAAGAAUUGUACACUAAACGGAAAUCGACAUUGUAGCUUUUUAUUUUUUCUAAUGCUCUUUCUUUGUUAACGAGUUUAUAUCCUGAGAGUGCAUUGGAUUCAAAAAAAAAAAAGUUUUGAUGUUCAAGGUAAGCCAUAAUAACAUGCAUCUUAUUUAUCUGUCUAUAUCUAAAUUUGUGCACUGAAUUUAGUAUUUUAGUUAGUGUGAAGGGAUCAGAUAUUGGCUUCCAUAAACCAACUUGUAUUUACUUAAUUAAUUAAUUAACACCAUUUAGUAUUUAACAAAUUAAAAUUUCGUGUUUAAUUUGUCUUAUUUUUUAUUUUUUGAAGCAAGAAUAAGGUAUAGCAGUAGGUAAAGUUGAAAUACAUAUUUAUUCCUUACAAAUUUAAAUUCGUUUUCAGCCAAAUAUACCUACUUAAAACCACUCAAUCAUGCCAUUGGCAACAGUUUUUUAGGUUUUUCUAGUUAACCGUGUACUUUUUUGCUUAUUAAUAAAAUUCUUUUGUGCUGAGAUUUAAAAUAAAGAAGGAGAAAAUAAGUUAUUUAAUUAACCUUGUUUUAAGUGUUGGCAUAAAUGCAGGACUGAAUUCCUUGAGUAACUUGGAGGAGCUGGACAUGACAGGCAAUGCAAUCGAAAAUCUUGUGGUUCCUAAAGGUAUACAAAAUGUUCAAAUAUUAAUAAUUUGGAGGACAGUUUAAUUGAUUUGAUUAGGGAAUGCCCAAAUGACACUUACCCAAAAUAAUUUAAUCCAAAAUUGUAUCCCAAACAGAUUUCAUAGGUUUGAGGAAGUUGAAUACCCUUAAUUUAGGGGGAAGCGAAAUUCGAAUGAUAGAUGGAAGCAAGGUGUUGCAAUCAAUAGGAUCACUACCGUCCCUCAAAACACUUUGCCUUUCAUAUACUAAUUUUACGGGAACAGUAGUUAAUCAAGGUAAGUAAAUCUUUUAUGUCGAAAAUAAUUGAAUUAAUAUAUAUAGCUAAAAUUUAUUGUUUCUACUUCUUUCUACAUAGAAUUGCACAAUUUCACCAACUUGGAAGAAUUGAUAUUGGGCAAAUCUGAUCUCCAUGUAAGCCAGCUUCUGCCAAGCAUCGCAUCAUUCACUUCGUUAAAGUAUUUGUCAAUGGGAGGUUGUAUACUCACAGGUGCCGUACAUGGUCAAGGUAAAUUAUGGGUAUCUGAAGCUUUUAAAUUUUUUCUUUUAAAUUUUUUAUAUUUUCACUGUCCAAUGGUUCUACCUUCUCUAAAUUGUAGGAUUCUUGAUUAAGGUUAAUGAAAUUUUUGUUCUGUUAUGUUAAGAAUAUUUCGAUCGCUUAGAAGAGUAAAGAAAAAUAAGUAAAUUAACCCAAAAAAAAAAGAAAAGAACAGGACCGGAUUAUCCUUAUUCCCUUGCAUUAUGUGAUCAAUAUCAAAAUUAUAACCAUUUCUUGUUUAUUGCUUGUAGAUUUUCGUAAAUUCAAGAAUUUGGAAAAUCUGGACAUGAAUCUGGUGUAUGUUGACGUCAACACCAGUUUUCUUCAAAUUGUCGGUGAAUCGAUGCCUUCUCUCAAGUUUUUAUCACUGACAGAUUCAAUUCUUAAUAAAAACACCAUUCUUGAUCAAGGUUAAUUAAUGAUUCUCCUUCUCCCUCUCUCGCAUCAUAACUAAAUUUAAUUGAGAAUAUCUAUAAUGCGAGCUAUUUAUAAACUUAAUGAAAGAUGAUAAGGAGCCAUAAUAAUGACAAAAAUAACUGUAAAAUAGUGCACUGUUGUAGUGUUGAUUGAAAAAUAAUGCUAAUUUUUUACUUAACAUUAUAACGCUGUAUAAUUUUACAGUUAUUUUGUUGCCAUUACGUCAGAUUAUACUGUUCAACUAUCAGUGAUCAAACUUAAUUUUUAAUGUGUACUUGAAAGAUAUGUAAUUAUUUAUCUAUGUGUACUGAAGGAUGAAUUAUAUAUUUUUCAGGACUUUGUCAGUUAGUGCAUCUGCAAGAGUUACACAUCGGCGGUAAUGAUUUGAGAGGUAGCUUGCCAUGGUGCUUGGCAAACAUGACAUCCCUUCAAGUGUUAGAUGCCUCUUCUAAUCAACUUACUGGAAACAUCUCCCCAGGCCUUUGUGAGUUGGUGUUUCUAAGAGAGUUAUCCAUUCAUAACAAUGAUUUAAGAGGUAGCUUGCCUUUGUGCAUGGCAAAUUUGACUUCCCUUCGAGUAUUAGAUGUCUCUUACAAUCAACUUACUGAAAACAUCUCAUCUUCCCUCAUGCAUCUAAUAUCUAUGGAAGAGCUCAUAAUUUCAAAUAAUCACUUCUUCCAAAUCCCUAUUUCACUUGAACCACUUUUCAAUCUCUCAAAACUCAAGACUUUCGAUGGUGAAAUAUGCGCAAAAACUGAGUCACAUUAUAAUUCUUUGACCCCAAAAUUCCAACUGACUUCUAUCUCACUAUCUGGUUACAUAGAUGGUGGCACAUUUCCCAAAUUCUUGUACCAUCAGCAUGACUUGAAGAAUGCUGAUCUCUCACACCUUAACUUGAGUGGAAAAUUUCCAAAUUGGUUGCUAGAAAACAAUACGAACUUAGAGACGCUUCUUCUUGCCAACAACUCUCUUUUUGGAUCAUUUCGGAUGCCAAUUCAUUCCCACCAGAAAUUGGCAAUAUUGAAUGUCUCCAACAAUUUCUUUCAAGGCCAUAUUCCGGUGGAAAUCGGAACAUAUCUGCCAGGUUUAACGGAUUUAAACUUAUCUAGAAAUGCUUUCAACAGUAGCAUUCCCUCUUCAUUUGCUGAUAUGAAAAUGUUGAAAAGGUUGGACAUAUCCUACAAUCAGUUGACUGGUGAAAUCCCUGAGCGCAUGGCCACGGGUUGCUUCUCAUUGGAAAUUCUUGCAUUGUCAAACAACAGUUUGCAAGGUCAUAUAUUCUCUAAAAAAUUUAACUUGACAAAUUUGAUGAGGUUGCAGUUGGAUGGUAAUAAAUUCAUUGGAGAGAUCCCAGAAAGCUUAUCUAAGUGCUAUUUGUUGGCAGGAUUGUAUCUGAGUGAUAAUCAUCUCUCUGGUGAGAUUCCAAGAUGGUUGGGUAAUUUGUCAAUUUUAGAAGAUAUUAUAAUGCCCAAUAACAAUCUGGAAGGACCAAUUCCAAUCGAGUUCUGUCAGCUUUAUUUUCUGACGAUUUUAGACCUUUCAAACAAUGCUAUUUUUGGAACCUUACCAUCUUGUUUUAGUCCAGCAUCUAUUGAACAAGUUCAUUUGUCAAAAAACAGGAUAGAAGGACGGUUGGAAAGUAUAAUCCAUGACAGCCCCAAUUUGGUGACAUUAGAUCUCAGUUAUAAUCGCUUACACGGAAGUAUUCCAAAUCGGAUUGAAAGACUACCUAAGUUAAACUACAUUCUUUUGGCUAAUAAUUAUAUUGAAGGCGAAAUACCAGUUCAAUUAUGCCAUUUGAAGGAAGUGCAGUUGAUUGAUCUUUCUCAUAAUAAUCUAUCUGGUCAUAUUCCUCCUUGCUUGGUUAACACUUCACUUAGUGAAGGUCAUCAUGAGGCAGUAGCUCCAACUUCUAGUUUGUUGGGUCAACUGCCUGCCUCACCUCCAUCUGAAUCUGAGGCUGCAAGUGGACCUCCGAUGGGAAAGGAAGAAACUGUACAGUUCACAACAAAGAAUAUGUCCUACUAUUAUCAAGGAAGAAUUUUGACGAGUAUGUCUGGGAUUGAUCUUUCUUGUAACAAACUGACAGGUGAGAUUCCUACUCAAAUUGGAUAUCUUACUAGGAUUCAUGCACUAAAUCUAUCUCAUAACAAUUUGACGGGCACAAUCCCGACAACAUUUUCAAACCUGAAGCAAAUCGAAAGCUUGGACCUCUCCUACAACCUACUGCAUGGGAAAAUCCCUUCUCAGCUCACUGUGCUAACUACAUUGGCGGUCUUCAGAGUAGCAUACAAUAACUUAUCAGGCAAAAUCCCAGAUAGAGUUGCACAAUUUUCAACAUUUGAGGAAGAUAGCUAUGAGGGGAAUCCUUUUCUUUGUGGAUGGCCACUGUCUAAAAGUUGCAAUGAUAGUGGAUUAUCAGCAGUGACACCAGAAGCUUACACUGAAAAUGAAGAAGGUGAUAGUUUAAUUGACAUGGACAGUUUCUUGAUCACUUUUACAGUAUCUUAUGGAAUUGUGAUAUUAGGAAUUAUCGGAGUUUUGUACGUAAACCCCUAUUGGCGGCGAAGAUGGUUUUACCUUGUUGAAGUGUGUAUGACCUCUUGCUACUAUUUUGUGGCAGACAAUCUUGUUCCUAGAAGAUUCUAUGGUGGAUGGAUGUAAUUUCAUUUACUUUACAACUUAUAUGUAAUUUUUAAAGAAUUUUCUUUUGCAUGCAUGGAAUAGCAACUCAAUAAAAGUAUUUGAUGCAAAUUGUCCAAGAACAACUUAGUAAUUUCAUUGCUACUAUUCGGUUGUAUAUAUACAGUUAAUGAAAUUUUUAAUCAUUCGCAGUAGGAAUUUCUUUAGAUGGCGGCCAAAACUAACAGAUUUGGGGCUCUACUUCUACACAUCAUAACAGGCAAAAGGUCUCUCUUUUACACGAUCUGAAUCAUUCAAUAGGUGUCUACUUCUACACAUCAUAACAGGCAAAAGGUCUCUACUUCUACGCCCCCUGGAGUUCUCCAUUAAACUUGACGGUUGAGAUUUCAGGUCCAGAUGAAAGUUAAAUGCAGGCGACGAGACUACACUUUAAGUAAACUGGGACAAACUUAAAAUAAAAAAAACUAUAGUCCAGGGUGAGAGUGAUGGGUAGCUCAACUUAUGGAGGAUAACUAGGACUUGGAAUAACUAUCAGAUUUGCAACUCUUGUAAUAUAUAGUGGGCAUUCAGGUAGCAAUUAUCGCCUUGGGAGUUACCGUAAUCGAUUCAUUUCCUCCUUCAUUUCUGAUGGUAACCCAGCUCUAUACAAGAACAAUAAGAGAAGGUUCCUUUAAGAAAUUUCACAACCCACAAUUUUUUUUUUUCCUUUUUGCCCUGUUCCUCACAAUAAACACACCUAACACACCAAGCCGUGCCCAAAAUAAUCCUAUUUUAUUCAUGUCAUGAAUCCAAAAACUAUCCCAGCUCACUUUGUUUAACCAGCAUAACUAAAUUGUGGGUAUAAAUGAACAGACUUUCGAAGCCUGUAACUUAUAAUAAGCUCAAACCCAAAAAUGACAUUUAAAUCCUGCAAGUGUUUUUCAUCAUCCCUAACAAAAAGAAACAAGAAUAAUUAUAUACCAAUAAUUUUUCCAUAAAAAAUACUGAUUUGAGUUGAAGCACUAUACAAACUGGGUUUUAUUACACUUGCAGAAAGCUACACGGUAGACAAAAUCUAGCAGCUACAUAUUGGUAUCACUUUCAGCUGGUCAUGAAUGGUGUGCAUUCAGCAGUGCACAAUAGACCAUGUCUAUGAAUUGAUUGUCCUAUUACAUAUAAAAGCUGGUCAGAUAUACAAGGAAAAAAAUAAUAAUUGAAAAUGCAUCACAAAAAAUAAGUGUUUCGCAUUAGUGUUUGCACUCUUAAGCAUGGCAAAGUGGUGCAGGGUUCAUGAUUUUGAAGACAAUGAUAAGUGAAAAAUAGUUCAAUCCAUUGAUGAACAUAAAUUUAUUUACAUGUCAAUUUAGAUACCAUCAAAAAGUAAACAGUAAUUCACAGUCACUUAAAAUAGUUGAUAAAAUGCGUGCCAUGAAUGCAUUUUUGUACAUAAGAAAUCCAAAGAGUAUUUCUGACAAUACAAAUAUGCUAGCUUUAAGUCUGCUGUCAAUAUGCAAUUAAGAAGAUUAUACCAGCUGCAUGAUAAAGUUCCCCUAAUCUUAAUAACAAUAAACAUGAACAUGUCAGAUGCAAUUCUAGCUUCGACCAUUUGCAUAACCAGAAAUCCUAACCUGAACAAGCACCAGAAGUGCCUCUCGGACUUUCUCCUUGCUGAUAAAUGGUCCACUGUUCCAAGUAAGAGCAGGAGUAAGAGAUGGUGGAGGGAUUGGUGGUGGAAACGGUUGAAGCACUGGGGCACCAUAUGGGCGUUGUAGACUCAAGGGAGUAUUAAGUGGCAGAGCUGUUGGUGUAGAUGAAGAGACAGGCUGCAUCAUCCCCGCAGAGGAGGAUGGAGGAGGAACAAAGAAUAAGGAAGGCUUUACAAGGUUAGGGGUAGGUGCUGACAGAGGUGGAGAUGGUAUUGCAAGGUUGGCACGAUAGGAGAAGCAACACUGGCGGGAUGAGAAGGUAAAGAAAUAGUUGUAUUGGACUGGUAAGGUUGUGCAGAGAUUGCUGCAUUAGAAGUAUUCCCCACAGUCAAAGCUGUCUGCAAUGAUAAGGACAGAUGUCAUAUACAAGGACAUCAUAGAAGUUGAACCUCACACAAAAAUGAAGUGAUAACAUGUGAAAAUAGUAUAUGACUUGCUGCAUUUUUGUGGUAAUGUUGCAUACUUAUGUAGAAACAUAUUAUUUCAAAGAAAACAUACACUGAAGAAGUUCACAAAAGCAGGAUCUUCAGGAACAUCAACAGCAUUUGAGGGAGUUGACUCUAGAGGACCAUCCAUAACUGCCAUAGUUGGAACAGCUUCCAGUUCCUCAAACUCACUGCAGUUUAACAUAAAAGGAACUUGAUGACCAAUUUAAGUAAUAAUUAGAUGAUAUACGAGGUUAGGGAAAAUGAUGAGUGGACCCUUAUGGAAGGUGAUUUCACCUUAGCUAAACAGGAAAAUAAAAAGAAAUCAAAGCUGAAUCCUCGAGUGCAAUGCAAAGAAUUUUUUCUCUCUUCUCUAACUCCUCUUAUUCAAAAUUGCUCAUCAUUGUGCUGUUCUUCGAGAUUUCGCUAGAGUAGAGAAAGCUAUUCUCCCGUUAAGUGCAGAGGAAAGAGAAGGGCAAAGGCCUGGUAUGAUGCUAUUCUAUAAGAAGUGAGAAAGUGAAGGGCUAAAAUAUUUUGCAAUUUGGAGGUGGUGUUUUUCAGUGUGUGUGCUUCUGAAUUUAUUACCUCUUUAGGAUCCAUAGAAAUUGCCUCUUGUUCAGCAUGCACUGUGCCUACGAGUAAGGCGAGCUUGCAUGGUAUCUAUUGUCUAUUUAUUUGGAUAUUCAAACAGGACUACCAGCAACCAAACACAAAUCCCCAAACAAAACACUCUUUCAAGUGCAAGGAAAGAGUAACUUGGGCAUAUUUAUGGUUCAAGCACUACCAUAACUAAGAAUGUGAUGCUGUCCACAAACACUAUAUCAGUGCCUUUUGAACUACAUCACAUGCUCGAAGACUUUUUUUUUAGUCAUACAUAAAUUAGCUAUAAAAUUAAGACUAUUAUACAACUAAAAAGAAAGAAAAAUUGUUUGCUACUACAUAUCAAAACUGGUAAUAGCAAUGUAAGAUGGCAGACUUCUUACUUAAACAGAUGAGAGGCUGCAAAUAAAAAAUUUGUGCAAAUAAAAUAUAUGAUAAAGAGCAUAAUACUUUCUUGGGGGCUAAAAAUAAUAUACAACUUGUGAAAUAUAAAUUGAGCUACCAUUACCUUUUAGAUGUAGCAACUUUCGACUUUUGAGGCACCUUGGAAUAUGCAUUCAGAAUCCUGCAUUUGGAAGCCAAAUAAAUAAUGUCAACAACAAUUUUACAAUAGAAAAAUUAAAAAUUGAUAAAUGGCAGUUGUAAUUUAUGUAUGUGUAAAGAUAGCAUCACAUCCAGGGUCCUCCCAUAAACAUGCUUGUAACAAGAAUUAGUUUGCCUCAACUGCUAGCAACUAUACAAUAGUAAAAAUCACUCUUAUGAACUCAACAAUACUAGGCACCAAUAAGAGUAUGAUACCGCCAUUCUAAAUGGAAGAGAAUACAACUGUUUUACAACUAUGUCACAUCAGGAGAUAUGCUAGGAGGAUUAAUCCAGAUACCAUCCAACCCAAUUUGGAAAACUCGAGUCAGAAACCAGGAGCUGUAACCAAACCUUACAAUCUUGAAGGAAGAAGGAGACUUGGGGCAUUUUUCCAGAUAGGUGACUUACAAGAUCUCCUGCCAAGAAAAUAUCUAUUGCUUUGAACCUCCAUUGAAAUUUCUUUUCCCUUUUUCUUGUUUUGACUUGGAACUUUCCAGCAUCAUCUAUUUGAUCUUUUUUAAAGCUAAAAUAGCAAUCUAUGGGUUGUCAACAUCUUAUCCCCCCCCCCCCCCCCCUCGGGGGGGCCCCCAAAAAAAAAAAACCAAUGAGUUGUCAAUAAAUAGCACCUACUCAACUUAUGUUCUCCAAUGGAUGACAAUGUGCAAAUCGACCUAGCAGCCACAUUUUUCCCCCCUUUCAACCACCAUUAGGCAACUUUUCUAACCUUUCUUCAUUGCCCACGUCUACAGAACUAUCAUAUAAAGACUACAUUAUUAUUGGGAUAGAGAAUAAAAUACAGACUAUAUUAUUAUUAUAUCUAAUUUUAUGAAUUAACUAGUGCAAGACUUAUUUAGUGUCAAAUCAAGAACUAAUUAGAAAAGACAACUCAUGAUAAUACAGACCUUAAAAGGCAAUAGCUAGCAACACCCCAUAUACUCCUAUUUUAGCCUUCAAUAUCCUGGUAAAAACACAAUUAAGUCUUGCAAAAGAACAUUCACAAGUAAAUUCAACAUUAAUUAAGAUUAAGUAUCUACUGCACCUUCAAUCAAUGACUGGGUGAAUAGCAUGGUCAACCAUCCAGUUCCUGUAGCCCUCCUUGUACCUAUGUUAGUUACAUUUUACAUAUUAAGCCACGAAAAUGAAGGGUCACAGCCUGGUAAAGAAAGCCAUUAAUUAAUAGUUUUUGUUUAAAAAGUUCUCGUUUAGAUCUUUCCUAUUCAAUGAAUCAACGUAAUCCAUGGAGAACUCUUCCAUUUCAAGCAUUGUUUGAAGAUAAUUGGAAAGCCUAAAGAUAGUAUACAAGGACCAAGAUAUCAAUUAGGUCAAAUAGUGAAUGUCAAAUAUAAAAAAUAAAUAAAAGAAGUUGUACAUGAUCAUUUACUAUCAAGUUCUGUAAAAUUGAAAAUACCAUUAUCCCUGUAGAGAUUCUCAAACAACUCUUUAGCAAAUUAUAAAAUAGUUAAAAAAAGAACGAAAGUUUAAAAAAAAAUGUACAACAGCCAUAUCAGGAGAUGUUUUUCUUCUCAAUCUCAAUAUUUUCUAGCCGUAAAACAAUUGAAAAGCUUAACACCAAGUGAAUUAUUAAGAAUUCAUCAUUUAAAUUCCCAAAUCGCAAAAUGUUGGUGCAACUAGGAAAGUGCAAAUGCAAUCACUUUACUAACACAAGAAACAUCAAUAGUGAGAAGCCCACUUUGUAUCAAAUUUGAAACAGAUAGAUAGAGGUCAAAAAAAUUAUAAAGAAACUCAAUUAAAAGCCUUUCAAACAGCUUUUGCAUGCAACAAGAACAAAUCAAAGGCGAUGUGAAUGUAUUCAAAGACUAAUUUACAAUCAUCUACAGGACAUAAAUAUCUUGGAUAACUACUCUCUAUACCUUACUGUCCCACUGAAAAUCAUCAAAUCCCUCCAAACAAAAAUGACAAAAUGGAUAAGAAUUGUCUGGUUAAACUUCAAUAACUUAGCAGCCACAGCAAAAACUUAUGUAGGCACGCAAGCCACUCAAAAUAGUCAUAUUGUUUGCUUUCCAAACAAAAGCCACUUUGUAAUGAAUAUUCAUAAAUUGCUACUACCAUGUUUGUUAAAGCACGUGAAAACCACCAUAACUAACUAAAUGUAACUGAUGAUCAUCAUCAAGUUCAUGGAAUCACAUAUCUGACAGUAUUAAUUAGUGCAAAUGGCAUGCUUCUUAAAACUCCGUAUUUCUCACAUGGGCGCCAUUCCAAUCAACCAAUGAUUCUGAUCUAGUCGGCAUAUUCAACCCACGAGCGAGUAAUACCUCCUAUUGCUUCUUUACAUUUCUCAACGAAAUUCCACAUUCUAACCAUACUUCUGAACUUGUAGCUCCCAUAGACUAAUACAAUAAAAAGAUUUCUUCCCACACCACCUCAGCCCCCACUCCUGAAAAACCAAUUUAAAUUCUCAUUGGCUGUACAACCUAUAGUCCAUACCAAAUUGAAAAAUUUACAAAUAUAGAACCUCAAAGAAUCUUCUUGCAUUCCAUUUUUUACGGCAAGAAAUUUGACUUUUACCACAUGCAAGUCAACAAAUAAAAAAAUCAUGUCUUUGUGAGAUGCACAUUUUCAGACGAAUCUGAAGAGCAAUGAAACCGUAAAAACCGAAUAUGAGAACACCGAGGACUCCAGAUAUCACCUAUAGAAUCUUCGGUCCACACUUGCAUGAUGAAAAUGAUGAAAAAAAAUUGAAGGCUUCGUCACCAGCUCCCCAGGUUGUUUUGUUCUCCUAUCUCCUAAACAUAAAGGAAAUGCAACCUGUUCUUUUUUCCAAUCUUAAGGGGCACAGAACGACUCUGGUAUAAAAUAGUCAGUUUCUAUACAAAAAUAACUCCUUUGCACUUGGCAUUCCACAUCUCGAAAUAAAAAGCAUGCAAGGAGGAGAAUAUAAUAGCAUUAAACAAGUUUUAUUAACCAAACUUCAAAGAUGCCAGGCAAGGCAAAAAAGAAAUCUGUACAAGCCAGAUCCCAAGAAUAAUAAUUCCAAUAUACAAUUCACAAAAACAAUAACUAAAAACAUGUUCAUGAGGCCUCAGCAGAAGCAACAUGUAAUAACCAUACUCUAUUAUUUGAAACACAUUUCCAAGUUUGGUUAAGAUUCUAAACUAUUCUCUAUGUGUCAAUUAUUAACAUGUAAAACAAAAUAAUAUACACUUAAACUACUACAGUAGUAAAACCAGUAAAACAACAAUACCUGCUAAAAAGAUUUGCUACCUCUUCACAUUCACGAGCAUUGUAGAACCAAAUCCCAUUUACUUCUUGGGAUGCAUUCCGAUAUAACAAAUACGGAACCUGAACUUCAAACUCAAAAUCUCCCAAAGGAUUUUCCACUAAAUUAUCUGCACAUAUCCAAGAUAUUGAAGCUUAUCAGUGCAAAAACAUAUGCAAAAAGACAUGAAGGUUAGGAGACAUAACUAAAACUUAGCAACAACUGAAAAGCACAACAAGAAAUGAAAUAUAACAUGAGUUGUAAACAAGAUAGACACGCGGUAUCUAAAUAAUUGUACCAACCCCCUCUCCUGAUUGUCAUAAAACAGCCAAUAUUUAACGCUAGACAACAACAUUGCAAAUACUCUAGCCUCUAUAUUAUUGGCAUAUAAAUAUUUUCGGUUAGGUACAUUAUAUUCUUCGUUCUAAAACCUCAAUUAUUAGCUAGUAGCCUAGUACUGUGAUAAAAUGAUUCAUCACUGAAAUUAAAACUAGUUCACGUACAAAUAAUCAAAACUGAAAUAGAAGCAACGAUAAACCAACCUGUAUUACGUCGAUUCAUCACAACAAACUGAAAUCGAGGCUGUGUGUUCUUGAAAAUUGAAAAAAUAAUAAUUUCACCAACUUCAUAUGUAAUACAAUCUCCAAAAAACCGAAUAUCAAAUGAAAAAAUGGAAAGCAUAAGAGAGAAAAGAAUCUAAUUUUAUUGACCUUUUGACGACGAAGAGAGAUCCUUCAACAUCCUUAUGACUCCAUUGGCUGAGGUCGAUGUUGAACUCGUAGAAGGUGACAUGAGCGGCCGUGAUGAGGAUCUCCUCAAUGAAUGGAUCGAUUCGCUGAAGAACUGUCAGGUUUAGGAGUUUUGUGCUCUGCUGGUCCAGAUUAGCCAUUAAUUUUCCGUUCUGCGACAUUUUUCAUAGUCCUUUUGGGCUCUGCCUCGAGCACAAGCGCCAUGGUUUUUCUGUGAGCUCUCUCUUUUGUAAAUAAAGUGUUUGAUGAGAUAGCCGAGAGAGAGUGAAAGAGUUGAGACUCGAGAUUGAUCUUGCUUUAACUUCUUUCAAACAUUUGGGAAAUAGCAUUUAUUUCUUUCAAAUUCUCUACUUUUUUUUCCUUUAUGUUAUUUAGACCCCAAAAUUAGAUUUAUUAUAAUCAUAUUUUACCCGUACACUAUUAAUCCCUUUUAUUUUAAAUUGUCAAUAUUAAUGUUUCAAUCAUAACUAAUGUGAUAACUCAUCGGUAACUGUAACAUUAACUUAAUUAUUAAUGUUUAUCAUGAAAUGAUGAGAUUAUUAUUCAAAACUUAGUAAACAUCAAUGACUAAUAUAAUAUGACAAUUACAGCUGAAUAUUAGUACAAUAAUUAGGAUUCCUAAAGUUAGUGAAUGUAUUAUAAUAUAUGUGUGUUACACUAUUUUAUGUCUCUCAAAUUCAAUUAAGUAAUUUCAGAGACCUAACCUUUUAUUACAUUAAAUUAAGAAUGUAUACAUGAAUGAAAGAUGUGCAGUUUUUGUUCUAUUUUUCACUAUUAUUUGCCAUUCAUCUACGUACGUCACUUGAUUUUUUGUGAUUAAUAUGCUUAAAUGGAUCUCUUUGAUAUAAAUAAAAUAAACGAAAAGUCUAAGAGAAAAAAAAAAUGAGGACCGAAAUUAUUACACCUACAACAAAUUUGCCCAGAGAGCAAUAAAUCAAACUUGCUUAGGAAGUUCAACAAUGAUUAGUUAAUAACUAAAAGAGCCUUCACCUAACAUGUUAAAGCUUCCGUCAAGCACAAACCCAUUGAAAGCUGUUUAGGUCCGUUUUAGAUCAUCGGAAAUUUGACAAAAUCAUAAAAACCCUCAUCUUAGAAAUUCCAAGCAUCAGGCAAUAGUCCUACUUUAUUGAUAUUGAGAGUUACACAAUAAAAGUUUCGUACAAAUUUUGCAAACGAAAAGCACAUAAUACACUUAACUAGGAGGGAAAAUUAAAGUGUAUAUAUUACAAACUGCUAACAAUAUACAGUAGUAAAAAUCACUCUUAUGAACUCACAAAUACUAGGCACCAAUAAGAGUGUGAUGCAGCCAUUCUAAAUGAAAGAGAAUACAAUUGUUUUACAACUAUGUCACAUCAGGAGAUAUGUUAGCAGGAUUAAUCCAGAUACCUUCGAACCCAAUUAACCAACUCGAGUCAGAAAUAUCUAUUGCUUUGAACCUCCAUUGAAAUAUCUUUUUCCCUUUUUCUUGUUUUGACUUGGAACUUUCCAGCAUCAUCUAUUUGAUCUUUUUUGAAGGUAAAAUAGCAAUCUAUAGGUUGCCAACAUGUUAUUCUGCCAAACCCCACCCCACCCCCUCCCGGGGGACAACAAAUAAUGCCUACUCAAAUUAUGUUUUCCAAUGGACGACAAUAUGCAAAUCGACCUAGUAGCCACAUUUUUCCCCCUUUCAACCACCGUUAGGCAACUUUUCUAACCUUCCUUCAUUGCCCACACCUACAGAACUAUAAUAAAAAGACUACAUUAUUAUUGGGGUAGAGAAAAUAUGCAGACUAUAUUAUUAUUACAUCACAUUUUACUAAUUAACUAGUGCACGACUUAUUUAGUGUCAAAUCAAGAACUAAUUAGAAAAGACAACUCUUGAUAAUACAGACCUUAACAAGCAAUAGCUAACAACAUCCCAUAUACUCUUAUUUUAGCCUUCACUAUCCUAGUAAAAACACAAAUAAGUCUUGCAAACGAACUUUUAUAAGUAAAUUCAACAUUAAUUAAGAUUAGGUAUCUACUGCACCUUCAAUCAAUGACUGGGUGAAUAGCAUGGUCAACCAUCUAGUUCCUGUAGCCUUCCAUGUACCUAUGUUAGUUACAUUUUAUAUAUUAAGCCAUGAAAAUGAAGAACUCUUCCAUUUCAAACAGUGUUAGAAGAUAUUUGCAAAGCCUAAAGAUAACAUACGAGGACCAAGAUAUACACAGAUAGUUUCUUUACGGGACUAAAGAGCUUUUUUAGAUGUUAAAACUGUUUCAAACUGUUUUUCUUGUUUGGUUUAACUAAGGAAGAGCUUGUGGAAGAUUAAAAAUGAUGUUUCCUGUUCUCUGUAGGAAGCUUUUAGGAGAUUUUUUGGGUUUUUUUGAAAGGUUGAAUUGUCAAAAAUACCUUGAUGUUAUUGUUUGCUAAAAGAUGUUAUGGACAACUAAACAACCAACAACAUUUUGUUAAAAGCUCUACUCGUGUAGGAUCUACUUAAAGAAUCUAUACCAAACAGAUUCUUAGACUAAUAACUCGAUCUUAAGUUUGUAAAAUUGGGCUCAGAAUCUCCACUAAGAACCCCGCUUCGGUGAGAAAGCCCAAGCCUGUUACUUUGUAUAAGCUUAUUCUGUAUGUUUGAUUGCAGGAACUGGCCGAUCAUACCGACGAGGUGAGUGUGCAACAUGAGGUGCUUGACGGGAUGUUUACUUUCUAUGAUACAACUAAAGCUAGCCUCAACAUAUAUCAGGUGCCUGCUUGUUUUUACCUUCUAGAUACUAAUAUUGUUUAGACGUGUAAUCUCUCUCUCCAUUGAACGCUAGACGGCUCGUCUCAAGCCUUCUACGUACAUCAGAGUCCUUCUUUAGCUUUUUAUGUAUAAAGUUUUGAUCUUUUUCCUUCAUUUGCUUGAAGCUCAUUACUGCAGAUUUUUUUUACAGGUUGCUAGUGUAACAUUCGACUUGCUGUUGCUUCUAGUGUUGGGAUCGUAUUUAAUUGUGCUUUUCAGCUUUCUUGUCACAACAACUUGGGUAUUACUCUUUCUCCAUAUCAAGCUUGAAGUUCUAAAUUUCAGUUUUAUCUUGUAUUUGAUGUUUUACAGGUUGCUGGAAAUGUGUUUGGUUAAUCAGAAAGAGAGCAAGAAAAUGAAAGAAAUCUAUUUCACUUUUUAUUUAUCAGCAUGAUUACAUUCACAAUGAAUCUAAGCUGCUAUUUAUACUUAAAUGACUACACACGAGAAUCUUCUUGCUAGAUAUUUCUAGAAACUCUACACGCACACUCGCACUGAGCUAGUGGUUACUAAAACCGUUACAACGAUAUUGCCAGCUCAGCAUAACCAACUUAUAACUAACACACUCAGCUGCAGGGGAAACCAUCAAGCUUACUGUGCAUCCUCUGUAAUCAAGCUUCUUUAAGCAUGCUCUGCAGAUCAUACGUCUGAAUUAUCGAAACAAGAUGAAUUAUUUUUUGUUUAUUUCAGCAGGCGAUCUAUGAGCGGAAUUUCUUGCAACAAAAGAUGUGUGUCCACCGGCUUGUAUUCAAUUCGCGAUGGAAUAAGAUCCCUUCAGCUUAUGAGAACUUCAAAUCAACUUAGGUCAUAUUUACACAAGGGCGCACAUGAUAUUAAUCUAAUGGCAAUUAUAUCAUCUAAAAUCCAAAACGAAGAGUCUCCCAUUUUCUUGUUCUCUACUCUGUUCAUAUUAUCAUAAAUUGACGAUUGCAAGGCAGCCGCAGAAAGGGAAUCGGCUUUUGGAAUAGGCGGCAUUUUUUUCAUAUGAAACAUAAAACAAUUUAAUAUCAAUUUUCUUCAGGAGACUGAGCAGAUUGUCUCGCAAGUGGCGCAUCGGUAUUGUAACGUCUGCUGGGUCUUACAUUAUCCACAAAAAUAACUCGUCCAUCUAGUAACUGCAAGUACAUACUUUGAGAUGCUUAAACUCAACAAUAUAAGCAUGGUAAAUUAGAGAAAAAUGAUGCAACUUUACCUUCCCAUUCAUGUCUGCCAAGGCUUUUUGGGCUUCCUCUUCUGUACUGAAAGUCACAUACCCGUAACCUUUUGAUCUAUUCUUACCUUUAUCCAUUAUUAUUGUAGCUGCAAAAAGAAAAGAAUCGGAUAUUAGAAAAUAGUGAAGAGGGAACAGGGGUUGAGACUUAAAAUAGAAAUAGACCAAAUCCUCAGUGACUUGGCCAAACUGUGAAAAAGCAUCAGCUAACAUCUCUUUAGUGGUUGAGAAAGAUACGCCUGCAAAGGAUGCCAGUUAAUUUUAUCAUAAUUAGAUGGUAAGAUUGCAAAUUCUGCAGCCAAAGGUAGUACGGAACUGAAUGAAGGAAAUCAAAUAUGAAUAUGUUUUCAAUCUCAAAAUAUUAAGAGUUACAAGUUCAAGGGAAUCAGAUGAUGGCAUGGUUGAAUUUUAUAAAUAUUUGAUAUUUUGGACCGAACAGGGCAAACAGAUGGAUCCAGAUAAUCAAGAAAAACAUCAAUUCCAUGCAACCAAAUUAGUGUGGGCAAUGCAAUUGAGCAACACUAUAAAAUUAUUCAAAGAAAUCUCUAGGUCAGUAUCCAAAUAUAUGGCUCCGUCCGUUCCACCACCACAACCAAAAAAAUCAGAUCCCCCCAUUUGGAUUCGAUUGAUUAAUUUGAGCAUAUAAAAUCGGGUUUUAAACUUCCCUAAUCAAAAUUUAUAUUCCACAGAAUCAGUUCCUUUAACAUGAUGCAUGACAUAAUAUUUUGUUUGCAAAAUAAAGAAGAAAGAUGACAUAAUAGAAACACUCACAGAGAGAGAAUACCUUCGACGAAAAGCUUCGAAGUGAAUCCUCUGUAAAAUACGAGUUGAGCUGCUGAAUUUUUCAAGUUUGAAUGAGAGACUGCGCCGUUUCUGAAAAUGUUUUUUUCUCAUUAGCGCCGCCAUUUUUGUAAUAGAGGGUAAAGAAAUAAGUAACAAAGUAAGAGGUGAGCAGAAGCGGCCCAAUUUAGUUAUAUGCCAUGUAUGCGAUCAAAAUUGAAUGGUUAAAUGGCAGCCACUGUGUUACAUCUUGUGUACGUAACAAACCGCCUACAUGGGAUCAUUGGAUUCGGGAAUAUGAAAUCCAAUGGAUAAUAUUGAAUUUAACGAAAAAUAGAUUACAGGUUGCAUUAGUCCAAGUUUAUUUCAAACAAACCAGCUGAUGAAAUAGCCGCUAAUCAAAUUUAAAAGGGAAAAAAAAAUCAAAUUAUAGGUUAUAGAUCUUAUUUCCAUCUUAAAUCUGUCUUUCAUGGUGACUCAAUGUGUAUACUAAUUUAUAAUUUGGAUCUAUAUUAGAGCUAAUGCUUCCCUAAAUAUCUAAUGAAAAUUUUCUUUUCAUUUAAUAAUAAAGAAAACUUGCAUUAAAACUAAAAGUACGGUAAUACCUGAUUUAUAAAUAGAUUGCAAUGUAAUUUUGAUAAAUAAAACAAUAAUUUAUGAAAUGGUUAUAACAUAAUUUUAAUUUUUUUUUCAAAAAGGAAAAACAACAAAAGUAAGAAAUAGAGAAUGAGGGCUACAAACUUUGUAUCUUAAACGGCCGUUAGAUUAUUUGUAAAUGAAAGCAACGGUGAGAUAUUGGUGGCUUAUGGAAACAGGUAAUCAUAAGGACUAUGAGUUUUUUUUUUUUUGUUGUUGUUACAUUGAUAUAUUACAAUCAUGAUUCUAUUAAUAUUUACAAUCAGAAUUUUAUCUGACUAUCUUUCAUAAUUCUAAACUAGUACAGCCUAAAUUCCUAUUCUCAUAUAAUAUCAAAGAGAGAUAUAUAUUAUUUUCCUCUAUUAACGAAGAGAUAUUUUUACUUCUAUCAAAUUUAACUAGAACGAGAAUUAAGUCAUUUUCAAUAGUCAGGACUCAGAACUCAUACACGCUAGUUUGAAAGUGUGGGGUGUGACAAUGAGCCAAGAGACCAUUGACAAGUACAAAAGAGUAGUUGCAAUUAAUUCAAACCGCUACACACGCUAUUGCAACCAAAUCGAGGGCCCUUUUUUGUUUGUUUCAUUGAAAAGUAGUUUGCACAAUUAAUUCAAACCGCUACACACACUAUUGCAUCUUUUGAAAAAGAAAAAUGGAAUAGUUUUCCAAGAUUAAUUCAGAGAAUAAGAUUUAAUAAUAAUGAUGUUAGAAAUCUUGAUAUUUGAAUCUUAAUAUUAUGUAUCAUUGAUUUAUUAAAUAAUAGAUUUCAUAGUUUCUAAAAGUAUUUAACCACUUGAUAAAUGUUAUAUUUGUUGGGACUAAAUUAGGACUUAAAUGUUGGAAUAUCUAACAUUGCAUAAAUAAAUAAAAACUUAAUAAUUUAUCUUCACACGACUAAUUAUUUUUACAUCACAACUAACCUUAAUUAUUUUUAAAGUAACAAUAUUAUUAAAUUGCGCUGACUAGUUAUCAAAAGAUGAAAGCAUGUUAAAAUAAGAAAGUACUAAGAAACAUGUGCUUAAACAAAGGUUAAGGCUACGAACAAUUAAGAAGAAACAACUUACAAUCAAAGGUUAAGAUUAUGAACAAUUUAAGGAAGGUAUUGAGCAGAGAAAGGGACGGAAUGGUUUUCUGAAUUGCCGGUGACAAGAAUGUUUGUGUUGUGAAAAGAAAUCCAAUGGUUUGUAAAUGGGUUGAAUUUUUCGCUCGCUUCAAUGACUUGCUUAUGCCCAAUAAAUUACUUUGCACAAUAGUAUUUGGGAUCCUAACAAUCAACUCUUAAUUUGGUCCCAAUAUAUUACUUUAUGAAUGCUUGUGUUGUUUUUUUUUAUAUAAAAUAAUUUAUUUAACUAAUCAUAGAAAUAAGAGAGAAAAGGGGGCAUUUGUUGACUCAAAGUCAAUUACAAAUACAUAACUCUUUCACGCGUUCAUGAAUUUCCAUGAAAGAGAGUGCCUCUCGUCUCUUUCCGGACAGUGACUCCAAUUAUGUUAACGUGACAAAUACAUAACGCUAUUACAUACAAGAAUAAGUUUUUGGAGCCGAGACUUGAGGGAGGUUCUAUCUAAUUCUAAAGGUUGUAACCAAAUCAUUAUCCCCAAUUUUUUUCAGUUAAAUAAAAUAAAAUUUAUGCUUAAGUAUAAAUAAUUUUUUUAAGUUAAAUAUAAAAUAAAAUUCAUGAACUUCCUAGAAAGAAAGAAAACCCUUCACCUUCUUCGUGACAACAAAUGAUGUUGAUAUGACAAAUACAAGCGCUAUUACAGGGAACAGCAUAAGACCGAGACUUGAUAAAUAUUAAAUAUAUAUUAUAAGUGGAGCAAACGAACAGAAUAAUAGAUAUUUUAUAAUACUCUUCAUAAAAAUCCAAGUUUUGAGCUGGCCUAUAAGCUUAUCUAGUGAAGUCUGGGUAUCCGCGUUGCCCAAGGUUCCGUUUGAAUCCAGGCCGUGUAGAUGUUUAAGACAUCGCAUAUGGACGGAGUGGAAAUAUUUUCAGUUGACUGAAUUAAAUAAAAAUAUAUUACAAUCAUAUUAUAUAUUAGCAGCAAAAAUAAAAAGAAAUGAAGAAAAACGCAUGCAAGACUUAGACAAGUCAAUUAAAAGCUGGGAGUAUCAUCAGUUCAAUUGAUUAUAAAUAGCGUAGAGCCAUCCUCUCGUUGUUGCAGAACUGAAGCAAAGAGACUCAGAAAGAGUGUGUGUAGGUGAUUAUAAUUAAGAAGAUAUAAUGUGUGGUUCAAAAAGAGUGUGGGUGAGUGAGUUAAUUUUCAUAUUAUUAGUAGUAAAAGGGUGGUGGAGUGAGGGAUGUUUGGAGCAAGAGAGGUCUGCUCUCCUCCAACUCAAACAUUUCUUCAAUGAUGAUCACUGUCUUCAAAACUGGGUAGACGAUGAGAAUUAUUCAGAUUGUUGUCAGUGGGAAGGGGUUGAGUGCAACGACACCACUGGCAGAGUGAUUGAAUUAGAUCUAGCACUAACUCGGAAUUGGGAAUCAGCAGAGUGGUAUAUGAAUGCCUCUCUGUUUACUCCCUUUCAACAAUUAGAGUCUCUUGAUUUAAGUUUGAACAAUAUAGCCGGUUGUGUUGAAAAUGAAGGUCCUUAAUUUACUCUAUUUUAAUUUUUCCUCCUCGUAAUUUCUUACAUCUAUCUGAUCCCUUUUGGCUUUUGUGUUAAUUUGCACGUGAUACAAUAAAAUUAUUUUUUAUUUUUUAUUUUUUAUUUUUUGGCAGGUCUGGAUAAGUUAUCAAGGUUGAACAACUUGAAGUUUCUUCAUUUAGACAUUAACCACUUCAACAACAGCAUCUUUUCGUCUCUAGGUGGUCUUUCAUCACUCAGAAACUUAUCAUUGGCUGGUAAUGAAUUGGAUGGAAGUAUUGAUAUUAAAAGUAAGUACGCUUCAACCCUUCUCCCCUGUCCCAUCUUUUGUGGAUCUUAUUUCACUGAGCAGCUGGAAGUAUUGAUACGAGAUCUAGCUAGACUCUUGUGAGUUUAGGCUUCAAGGCUUUGAAUAUUAUAAAAAUAGGAUUAAGAAAUUAUCAAUACAUAAUGUUAUUACAUACAAUAAUAGUUCUAAAGAUUGUAACAAAAUCAUUAUCCCCAAUUUUUUUAGUUAAAUAAAAUAAAAUUCAUGCUUAAGUAUAAAUAAUAUUUUGGACAUUCUUGAUAUUUGUCCUUUUAAGAUAAACAGCAACCCAAUUAUCUAUUUGUUUGUCUGUUUAUUUUUUUUAAUAACAGUUUGUUAGCAUAAAUAUUUACCUGUGAAGUCGAGGAGGAGAAAAUGUUAGAAAAAAUAAAAAGAAAAAAAAAUUAAGGGGGAUAGAAUCAGAUUUUCUUUUUUGAGCAAAGAACAUACGUAAAAAGAUAUUAAAUCUAUUAAGUCUAAUUGUCUAUAACGGCAAAUUGCAUAACGAAUAAUUUAUCAGUGUAAAAUAAAUUUUAUUAGAUUCUGAUUAUUUGUUUGAUUUCUUUUCUCUCUGGACUCAACUUAUAUUGUUUAUUUGAUUUGAUUUUAUUAUUUUUUAAAGAAACUUAUUGUUUAUCAAUACUGAAUGGCUUAAGAUUGAUGUCUUGAUAAUAGAUGGGGCAAUAUUGCAUUUUUAAUGCAGUAGACUUUGAAGUUAUCAUUGACAAGCUUAGAUGAAUUACUAGGACCAUAAUACAAAUGUCACAGGCAUCUAAGGCACUUACCAAGUUUUGAGUACAUUCCUGUUCCUAUCUAAUAGUUUUUAAUUUCUUUAAUUUAAGACCCCAUUCAUUAAUAUUUUCUUUAUUGUGAAGUUAAUUUUUUUAUUUGAAAUUAAUUUUUUUUAAAAAAAAAUUUGUUGACUUAUAGUUUACCUUUGUGUUAAAUGUUGGCAAAAUUAUUUUGUCCAAACCAUUGUUUUUGUCCUGAACGUCCAACUAAAAACUGAAUCAAGGGUUAAGUUGUAAGGUUUCAGUUCGUCCGUUAUAUUAAUUUAUUGUUUUAAUAUUAUGCAGUACAAAUAGGUGUAUAAGUCCAUCAUUUAAAUACAAAAUGAAACCACAUCAAUAUAGAAAUUAAAAGAAAAUGAAUUCUCACAACCAUACGGUGAGAUUCAAACUCUCUAUCUCCGAGGAUUUCUUAAAGUUAUUCUUAAAUUAUACUUAAAUGGUUAAAUUUAAUAAAUAAAGGUUUAAUUCUUUUCUCGCACAUUGUAGAAGCAAAUUUUCUCCUCUGUUGAAAAUUCUAAAUAUUUUUUUAAAUUAGGUUUCAACUAUGACAUAUCAGGAGAGAUUUGAUACAUUUCUAAUGCAACUGAUAUAACAACACAACUUUGUGAUUUUUACUAUUCAGGAGAAAAAGAACACAACCUGUAUAACCCAACCGUUUAUAUACAAACAUCGAAUCGCUUUUUAAAAUUAAAUUGGGAAAAUUGGGGAUAUAAUAGUUUUUCAUAUAUAUACAUUUUUUCCUUACAAAUUUAAAUUCAUGGUUGUCAUGAGCUAAAUAUACCUGCUUAAAGCCACUCAGUCGAACCCUUUGAGAGCUGCUUUAAAUUUUUCGGAUUAGCCAUAUUCUUUUCACUGAGAUUUAACAUAAAAAAAAGGAGAAAAUAAGUUAUUUAAUUAACUCUAUUUUAAGUGUUGGCAUAAAUACAGGACUCGAUUCCUUGAGUAACUUGGAGAUGCUGGACAUGAGCGACAAUGCAAUCGACAAUCUAGUGGUUCCUAAAGGUAUACAAAAUGUUCAAAUAUUAAUAAUUUGGAGGACAAUUUAAUUGAUUUGAUAAGGGAAUGCCCAAUGACACUUACCCAAAAUAAUUUAAUCCGAAAUUGUAUCUCAAAUAGAUUACAGAGGUUUGAGGAAGUUGAAUACCCCUUUUUUGGGGGGGGGGGGGGGGGGAGAGGGAGGCAGUGAUAUAUGGAAGCAAGGUGUUGCAAUCAAUAAAAAAAAUUUGUUGGUCAAUAUUCAAGGACUCAUCCAAAGUAAUCGUUAAAGUCUAGAGGUCUGCCCUCCACCAACUCAAACAUUUCUUCAAUGAUGAUCAACGUCUUCAAAACUAGGUAGACGCGGGAGAUGAUGAGAAUAAUUUAGAUUGUUGUCAGUGGGAAGGGAUUGAGUGCAACAACACCACUGGCAGAGUGAUUAAAUUAGAUCUAGCACAAACUCGAAAAUGGGAAUCAGCGAAGUGGUAUAUGAAUGCCUCUCUGUUUACUCCCUUUCAACAAUUAGAGUCUCUUGAUCUAAUUGGGAACAAUAUAGCUGAUUGUGUUAAAAACGAAGGUCAUUAAUUUACUCUAUUUUAAUUCUUCCUCCUCGUAAUUUCUUACAUCUAUCUGAUCCCUUUUGGCUUUUGUUUAAUUUGUACGUGAUACAAUAAAAUUAUUUUUUUUCAGGUCUGGAGAGGUUAUCAAAGUUGAACAACUUGAAGUUUCUUGAUUUAGGCUUUAACCACUUCAACAACAGCAUCUUUUCAUCCCUAGGUGGUCUUUCAUCACUCAGACAAUUAUCAUUGGCUGCUAAUCGAUUGAAUGGAAGUAUUGAUAUUAAAGGUAAGCAAGCUUCAUCCUUUCUUCCGUGUCCCAUCUUUGUGGAUCUUAUUUCAUCAACCAGCUGGAAGUAUUGAUACGAGAUCUAGCUAGACUCUUGCUAGUGCAAGCUUCAAGGCUUUGAAUAUUAUAAAAAUAGGUUUAAGAAAUUAUCAAUAUAUGCAAUUUUCUAUGCUUCUCAUAAUCAGACACAAUUCAAUCUAAUUAUUUCGUUUGUCCUGUCUUCAAAAGUAAAGAAUUGUACACUAAACGGAAAUCGACAUCGUAGCUUUUUAUUUUUUCUAAUGCUCUUUCUUUGUUAACGAGUUUAUAUCCUGAGAGUGGAUUGGAUUAAAAAAAAAAAAAAAGUUUUGAUGUUCAAGGUAAGCCAUAAUAACAUGCAUCUUAUUUAUCUGCCUAUAUCUAAAUUUGUGCACUGAAUUUAGUAUUUUGGUUAGUGUGAAGGGAUCAGAUAUUGGCUUCCAUAAACCAACUUGUAUUUACUUAAUUAAUUAAUUAACACCAUUUAGUAUUUAACAAAUUAAAAUUUCGUGUUUAAUUUGUCUUUUUUUUUUUUUUUUGAAACAAGAAUAAGGUAUAGCAGUAGGUAAAGUUGAAAUAAAUUUUUAUUCCUUACAAAUUUAAAUUCGCUGUUGUCAGCCAAAUAUACCUACUUAAAACCACUCAAUCAGGCCCUUGGCAACUGUUUUUUUAAGGUUUUUCUGGUUAGCCGUAUUCUUUUCUUAUUAAUAAAAUUCUUUUCGCUGAGAUUUAAGAUAAAAAUAAAAAAGAGAAAAUAAGUUAUUUAAUUAACUUUGUUUUAAGUGUUGGAAUAAAUACAGGACUGGAAUCCUUGAGUAACUUAGAGGAGCUGGACAUGAGCGGCAAUGCAAUCGACAAUCUAGUGGUUCCUAAAGGUAUACAAAAUGUUCAAAUAUUAAUAAUUUGGAGGACAGUUUAAUUGAUUUGAUUAGGGAAUGCCCAAUGACACUUACCCAAAAUAAUUUAAUCUGAAAUUGUAUCUCAAAUAGAUUACAGUGGUUUGAGGAAGUUGAAUACCCUUUAUUUGGGGGGGGGGGGGGGGGAGAGGGAGGCAGUGAUAUAUGGAAGCAAGGUGUUGCAAUCAAUAAAAAAAAUUUGUUGGUCAAUAUUCAAGGACUCAUCCAAAGUAAUCGUUAAAGUCUAGAGGUCUGCUCUCCACCAACUCAAACAUUUCUUCAAUGACGAUCAACGUCUUCAAAACUAGGUAGACGCGGGAGAUGAUGAGAAUAAUUUAGAUUGUUGUCAGUGGGAAGGGAUUGAGUGCAACAACACCACUGGCAGAGUGAUUAAAUUAGAUCUAGCACAAACUCGAAAAUGGGAAUCAGCGAAGUGGUAUAUGAAUGCCUCUCUGUUUACUCCCUUUCAACAAUUAGAGUCUCUUGAUCUAAUUGGGAACAAUAUAGCUGAUUGUGUUAAAAACGAAGGUCAUUAAUUUACUCUAUUUUAAUUCUUCCUCCUCGUAAUUUCUUACAUCUAUCUGAUCCCUUUUGGCUUUUGUUUAAUUUGUACGUGAUACAAUAAAAUUAUUUUUUUUCAGGUCUGGAGAGGUUAUCAAAGUUGAACAACUUGAAGUUUCUUGAUUUAGGCUUUAACCACUUCAACAACAGCAUCUUUUCAUCCCUAGGUGGUCUUUCAUCACUCAGACAAUUAUCAUUGGCUGCUAAUCGAUUGAAUGGAAGUAUUGAUAUUAAAGGUAAGCAAGCUUCAUCCUUUCUCCCGUGUCCCAUCUUUGUGGAUCUUAUUUUUAUUUAAAUUGUCUUUAAUUUGUCUUAUUUUUUAUUUUUUGAAGCAAGAAUAAGGUAUAGCAGUAGGUAAAGUUGAAAUACAUAUUUAUUCCUUACAAAUUUAAAUUCGUUGUCAGCCAAAUAUACCUACUUAAAACCACUCAAACAUGCCAUUGGCAGCAGUUUUUUAGGUUUUUCUAGUUAACCGUGUACUUUUUUGCUUAUUAAUAAAAUUCUUUUGUGCCGAGAUUUAAAAUAAAGAAGGAGAAAAUAAGUUAUUUAAUUAACUUUGUUUUAAGUGUUGGAAUAAAUACAGGACUGGAAUCCUUGAGUAACUUAGAGGAGCUGGACAUGAGCGGCAAUGCAAUCGACAAUCUAGUGGUUCCUAAAGGUAUACAAAAUGUUCAAAUAUUAAUAAUUUGGGGGACAGUUUAAUUGAUUUGAUUAGGGAAUGCCCAAUGACACUUACCCAAAAUAAUUUAAUCCAAAAUUGUAUCCCAAACAGAUUUCAUAGGUUUGAGGAAGUUGAAUACCCUUAAUUUAGGGGGAAGCGAAAUUCGAAUGAUAGAUGGAAGCAAGGUGUUGCAAUCAACAGGAUCACUACCGUCCCUCAAAACACUUUGCCUUUCGUAUACUAAUUUUACGGGAACAGUAGUUAAUCAAGGUAAGUAAAUCUUUUAUGUCGAAAAUAAUUGAAUUAAUAUAUAUAGCUAAAAUUUAUUGUUUCUACUUCUUUCUAAAUAGAAUUGCACAAUUUCACCAACUUGGAAGAAUUGAUAUUGUUCGAGUCUGAUCUCCAUGUAAGCCAGCUUCUGCAAAGCAUUGCAUUAUUCACUUCGUUAAAGUAUUUGUCAAUGCGAGUUUGUACACUUACAGGUGCCGUACAUGGUCAAGGUAAAUUACGGGUAUCUGAAGCUUUUAUGAUAUUAAUUCGAUAAUAAUUCUUUCUUUUCAAGUUAAUUUUUUCCCCUAAAAUAAGAUUUUUUUUCUUUUAAAUUUUAUAUAUUUUCAUUGUCCAAUAGUUCUAGCUUCUCUUAAUUGCAGGAUUCUUGAUUAAGGUUAAUGAAAUUUUAGUUCUGUUAUGUUAAGAAUAUUUCGAUCGCUUAGAAGAGUAAAGAAAAAUAAGUAAAUUAACCAAAAAAAAAAAAGAAAAGGACCGGAUUAUCCUUAUUCCCUUGCAUUAUGUGAUCAAUAUCAAAAUUAUAACCAUUUCUUGUUUAUUGCUUGUAGAUUUUCAUAAAUUCAAGAAUUUGGAACAUCUGGACAUGGAUGGGGCGCAGGUUGACGUCAACACCAGUUUUCUUCAAAUUGUCGGCGAAUCGAUGCCUUCUCUUAAGUUUUUAUCACUGACAUAUUUUAGUCUUAAUAAAAACACCAUUCUUGAUCAAGAUCAAGGUUAAUUAAUGAUUCUCCUUCUCCCUCUCUCGCAUCAUAACUAAAUUUAAUUGAGAAUAUCUAUAAUGCCAGCUAUUUAUAAACUUAAUGAAUGAUGAUAAGGAGCUAUUAUAAUGACAAAAACAACUGUAAAAUAGUGCGCUGUUGUAGUGUUAAUUGAAAAAUAAUGCUAAUUUUAUAGUUAUUUUGUUGCCAUUACGUCAGAUUCCAUUGUUCAAUUAUUUAAGUUUUAUGCAAUUAUAUUUUUCAGGACUUUGUCGGUUAGUGCAUCUGCAAGAGUUAUACAUCGGCUAUAACGAUUUGAGAGGUAGCUUGCCAUGGUGCUUGGCAAACAUGACAUCCCUUCAAGUGUUAGAUGCCUCUUCUAAUCAACUUACUGGAAACAUCUCCCCAGGCCUUUGUGAGUUGGUGCUUCUGAGAGAGUUACACAUUGAUAACAAUGAUUUUGGAGGUAGCUUGCCUUUGUGCUUGGCAAAUUUGACUUCCCUUCGAGUAUUAGAUGUCUCUUACAAUCAACUUACUGAAAACAUCUCCUCAUCUCCCCUCUUGCAUCUAACAUCUAUCAAAGAGCUCAUACUUUCAAAUAAUCACUUCUUCCAAAUCCCUAUUUCACUUGAACCACUUUUCAAUCUCUCAAAACUCAAGACUUUCGAUGGUGAAAUAUGCGCAGAAACUGAGUCACAUUAUAAUUCUUUGACCCCAAAAUUCCAACUGACUUCUAUCUCACUGUCUGGUUACAUAGAUGGUGGCAUAUUUCCCAAAUUCUUGUACCAUCAGCAUGACUUGAAGAAUGCUGAUCUCUCACACCUUAACUUGAGUGGAGAAUUUCCAAAUUGGUUGCUAGAAAACAAUACAAACUUAGAGACACUUCUUCUUGCCAAUAACUCUCUUUUUGGAUCAUUUCGGAUGCCAAUUCAUUCCCACCAGAAUUUAGCAACAUUGGAUGUCUCCAACAAUUUCUUUCAAGGCCAUAUUUCGGUAGAAAUCGGAACAUAUCUGCCAGGUUUAAUGGAUUUAAACUUAUCUAGAAAUGCUUUCAACGGUAGCAUUCCCUCUUCAUUUGCUGAUAUGAAAAUGUUGGAAAGGUUGGACAUAUCUGACAAUCAGUUGACUGGUGAAAUCCCUGAGCGCAUGGCCACGGGUUGCUUCUCAUUAGAAAUUCUUGCAUUGUCAAACAAUAGUUUGCAAGGUCAUAUAUUCUCUAAAAAAUUUAACUUGACAAAUUUGAUGACGUUGCAGUUGGAUGGUAAUAAAUUCGCUGGAGAGAUCCCAGAAAGCUUAUCUAAGUGCUAUUUGUUAGAAGGAUUAUAUCUGAGUGAUAAUCAUCUCUCUGGUAAGAUUCCAAGAUGGUUGGGUAAUUUGUCAUAUUUAGAAGAUAUUAUAAUGCCCAAUAACAAUCUUGAAGGACCAAUUCCAAUCGAGUUUUGUCAGCUUGAUUCUCUGAAGAUUUUAGACCUUUCAAACAAUAGUAUUUUCGGAACCUUACCAUCUUGUUUUAGUCCAGCAUCUAUCGAACAAGUUCAUUUGUCAAAAAACAAGAUAGAAGGACGAUUGGAAAGUAUAAUCCAUGACAGCCCUUAUUUGGUGACAUUAGAUCUUAGUUAUAACAGCUUACACGGAAGUAUUCCAAAUCGGAUUGACAGACUACCUCAAUUAAACUACCUUCUUUUAGCUCAUAAUUAUAUUGAAGGCGAAAUACCAGUUCAAUUAUGCCAGUUGAAGGAAGUGCGGUUGAUUGAUCUUUCUCAUAAUAAUCUAUCUGGUCAUAUUCCUCCUUGCUUGGUUAAAACUGCACUCAGUGAGGCAGUAGCUCCAACUUCUAGUUCGUGUGGUCGAGCGUCUGGCUAUGCACAGUUCACAACUUCUCAUAAUACAAGUGGAUCUCCGAUGGGAAAGGAAGAAAUUGUACAGUUCACAACAAAGAAUAUGUCCUACUAUUAUCAAGGAAGAAUUUUGACGAGUAUGUCUGGGAUUGAUCUUUCUUGUAACAAACUGACAGGUGAGAUUCCUACUCAAAUUGGAUGUCUUACAAGGAUUCGUGCACUAAAUCUAUCUCAUAACAAUUUGACGGGCACAAUCCCGACAACAUUUUCAAACCUGAAGCAAAUUGAAAGCUUGGACCUCUCCUACAACCUGCUGCAUGGGAAAAUCCCUUCUCAGCUCACAGUGCUAAAUACAUUGGCGGUCUUCACAGUAGCAUACAAUAACUUAUCAGGCAAAAUCCCAGAUAGAGUCGCACAAUUUUCAACUUUUGAGGAAGAUAGCUAUGAGGGGAAUCCUUUUCUUUGUGGAUGGCCACUGUCUAAAAGUUGCGAUGAUAAUGGAUUAUCAGCAGUGACACCAGAAGCUGACACUGAUAAUGAAGAAGGUGAUAGUUUAAUUGACAUGGACAGUUUCCUGAUCACUUUUACAGUAUCUUAUGGAAUUGUGAUAUUAGGAAUUAUUGGAGUUUUGUACGUAAACCCCUAUUGGCGGCGAAGAUGGUUUUACCUUGUUGAAGUGUGUAUGACCUCUUGCUACUAUUUUGUGGCAGACAAUCUUCUUGUUCCUAGAAGAUUCUAUGGUGGAUGGAUGUAAUUUCAUUUACUUCACAACCCACAAUUUUUUUUUUUCCUUUUUGCCCUCUUCCUCACAAUAAACACACCUAACACACCAAGCCGUGCCCAAAAUAAUCCUAUUUUAUUCAUGUCAUGAAUCCAAAAACUAUCCCAGCUCACUUUGUUUAACCAGCAUAACUAAAUUGUGGGUAUAAAUGAACACACUUUCGAAGCCUGUAACUUAUAAUAAGCUCAAACCCAAAAAUGACAUUUAAAUCCUGCAAGUGUUUUUCAUCAUCCCGAACAAAAAGAAACAAGAAUAAUUAUAUACCAAUAAUUUUUCCAUAAAAAAUACUGAUUUGAGUUGAAACACUAUACAAACUGGGUUUUAUUACACUUGCAGAAAGCUACACGGUAGACAAAAUCUAGCAGCUACAUAUUGGUAUCACUUUCAGCUGGUCAUGAAUGGUGUGCAUUCAGCAGUGCUCAAUAGACCAUGUCUAUGAAUUGAUUGUCCUAUUACAUAUAAAAGCUGGUCAGAUAUACAAGGAAAAAAAUAAUAAUUGAAAAUGCAUCACAAAAAAUAAGUGUUUCGCAUUAGUGUUUGCACUCUAAGCAUGGCAAAGUGGUGCGGGGUUCAUGAUUUUGAAGACUGUGAUAAGUGAAAAAUAGUUCAAUCCACUGAUGAACAUAAAUUUAUUUACAUGUCAAUUUAGAUAUCAUCAAAAAGUAAACAGUAAUUCACAGUCACUUAAAAUAGUUGAUAAAAUGCGUGCCAUGAAUGCAUUUUUGUACAUAAGAAAUCCAAAGAGUAUUUCUGACAAUACAAAUAUGCUAGCUUUAAUUCUGCUGUCAAUAUGCAAUUAAGAAGAUUAUACCAGCUGCAUGAUAAAGUUCCCCUAAUCUUAAUAACAGUAAACAUGAACAUGUCAGAUGCAAUUAUAGCUUCGAGCAUUUGCAUAACCAGAAAUCCUAACCUGAACAAGCACCAGAAGUGUCUCUCGAACUUUCUCCUUGCUGAUAAAUGGUCUGCUGUUUGAAGUAAGAGCAGGAGUAAGAGAUGGUGGAGGGGUUGGCAGUGGAAAAGGUUGAAGCACUGGGGCACCAUAUGGGCGUUGCAGACUCAGGGGAGGAUUAAGUGGCGGAGCUGUUGGUGUAGAUGAAGAGACAAGCUGCAUCAUCCGUGCAUANNNNNNNNNNNNNNNNNNNNNNNNNNNNNNNNNNNNNNNNNNNNNNNNNNNNNNNNNNNNNNNNNNNNNNNNNNNNNNNNNNNNNNNNNNNNNNNNNNNNNNNNNNNNNNNNNNNNNNNNNNNNNNNNNNNNNNNNNNNNNNNNNNNNNNNNNNNNNNNNNNNNNAGAAGGUAAAGAAAUAGUUGUAUUGGACUGGUAAGGUUGUGCAGAGAUUGCUGCAUUAGAAGUAUUCCCCACAGUCAAAGCUGUCUGCAAUGAUAAGGACAGAUGUCAUAUACAAGGACUUCAUAGAAGUUGA
RNAcentral lists this long non-coding RNA (51370 nucleotides) under Citrus x clementina. RNAcentral describes it as "Citrus clementina (C. clementina) long non-coding RNA (CCLE_LNC001061)". Lineage: Eukaryota; Viridiplantae; Streptophyta; Magnoliopsida; Sapindales; Rutaceae. The record is from RNAcentral.